AAAAAAAAAUACAAGAUUUCCUAUCACAUCUUGGUGUAAAUAAAAAUAUUAUUAUGGAUGAAUCCAAAAAAUAAAUGAAGUAAAAGGUGGUCGAUACAAUUGAUUUUUCUAGAUAAAACUGGAAAAGCGUGACAGUCGAAUAAAAAAGAUUGGACACAUAUACAAUUGAGACAUAUUAAAAGUAAACAAAGCAGGAUUUUAAUGGGAGGAAACUGCAAAUGAAGGUAUCUGAUUUUUAAGAUUUUAAACAAAAUGAAGCAAUCAUUUAUUUAUUUCACUUUUUUGAGGUGUUUAUGAUUUUUAAACAAUGACGAGUGAAGACAUUUUAGGUGAACAAAUAAAAGCAGGUGUAAAAUUGAAUAUUGAUACAGAUAACAGACAAGAAACGUUCUUACCUUCAAAUAUCCAGACAGACAAAAGUAUUACGUAAUCUGUCAAUGUCUGGUUAUAAAAAUAGGCAAACUAAGGGAGACUACUCGUGUUUCCUUGCAAUUAUUUUAAAUGAACCGAAGAAACAUUAUGAUCAAUGUAAGUAACUAUGUCAAACUACUUUUAUUUGCAGUCAUCUCAUUGAUUUUUGAUAUCUUUUUUUAAAUAUUUUAAUUUAUUCUGAUAAUAUUAAGCAUAUACACAGAUGCUAUACAUGAGGUGCUUCGCUUCAUAUCAAAACACAUAGGGAUAUUGCUAAGAUUCAAAGAAAGAAAUGAAACAUAUUUUACAUUUUAUGCUAAUUCCCUUGAUUCCCUUUUUCUGGCAUUUUGAAAAUUACAAAACCUCUAGCUUGUCAUGAUACUGUUAAAACAGUAUUUUUUUUUAUUGUUAAAUGUUAAUAAGAAAAGGUUGUUUACUGGAAACUGAAAAAAAAAUACAUUGAAGUAUGUAAUGUCUUCGUACAGGAUCUGUUAGACUAUAUAUAUUUAUAUAUAUUUUAUGCAUAUCAUUAGCAUCUCUUCUUAUGGUCACUAUGCCACCACUUCCACAUUUAAAGAAUUAUGAUAUAUAUGACUUUUUAUUAGUCUUGCUUUUGAUAAUAGUUUAUCCCUUUAGCUCUUAUCUUCCAAUGUGAAGAACAAAAGUCUGUCUAGGAAAUAUCCUUGCUAGACAUGACUACAUCAUUUAAAAUUAAUUCAAAAUUUUCGUCUGAGACUAUCUGUAUAUGAUUCACAAUUUUUCUAUUAUGCCGGGAAAUUCGUCAUGAUUCAUCCUUUUAAUUGGUUUUUCUUCAAAAGCCUAUAAAUUUCAGUUUGUGACAAAACGAUAAUACUGUAUUUUCAGUUUUAAAAUGUCCAUGGAUCAAGGAUAAGGGUGUUUAUAAAUAGUUUUUAUUAAAAAAUUAAUUGUAAAUUAUAUUCAAUACAAAAGACCUCUCCACUUAAAAAGUAAAAUUCAAUAUUUGUAUGCAACUUGAAUGUCAAGGAUGUUCAUCUUAGCAACAUGGAGACAUCAAACAUGACCUCUGUGUUUACUCUGUUUCUAUCAUUGUCCUUUGUCUUUUAUAUAUCGGCACGUUGCAUGCAGAAGUAUUCAGUGAGUACACUUGAACAAUGAUAUUAAAAGGAAAAAAAAUAUGCUUAAAAUGCGAGAACAGAUUUAUACAAGUUGUACUAUAAUACUCCAUUACUCGUUUGAAGGGAAUAUGAUUUGAAUGAUACCACUUGGGUUAUAAAAAGAAAAAUGUUUUCAGAAAUACAAAAACAAUAUUUAUUGACAAUAAGAAAUGACGAAGACCUAUUUUUUCUGCAAAAAUAGUUCACGAGAAAGUAAGAACAGGUGCGUCGGUAUGCUUCUAUCAAACCCUGCAUUUCUCUGUUCUGCAAGUUCUUUUCAGUCGAUUAAAGGGUAAUUUCUAAAAAGGGACCAGAUGUCAAGGGAGCAAAUAUUUACAGCAGGCAAAGCAGUCACCCUAUGUUGAUUGCUAUACUUUUGCACUUAAUAGAGCAUUUAAAUAGUCUUCCAAUUCCACCCUACUUAGGAGAGCAAUUGUAUGUUCUACCUUUCGACUUUAAAAUUAUUGUAUUUAUCACUAUACAACAAAUACAUAUAAGUCUGCUCCAUAUCUUGACUUACCUCUAGACAUUGACAAUGAGGAUUGGUUGAGAACAAAUCAUUUCUACAAACAAAAUGAUUUCAGCUUCUCAAUUGUGAACUUUCCAUUUUUUAUGUAGUAACAUUUCAGCAACGCUUGUAUAUAUAGUAUAUAUCUCUUAGCUGAUACAAUAUGUCAGAGAUUGAUAAAGCGUUGCUGCUACCGAAUUAGACUAUUUACCGGAUGUGUUAUAACAUGAGCCACACGACGGGUGUCACAUGUGGAGCAGGAUCUGCAUACCCUUCCGGAGCACCUGAGUUUACCCCCAGGUUUUGGAGGGGUUCGUGUUGCUUAUUCUUUAAUAUUCUAUGUUGUGUCACGUGUAUUAUUGCUUGUUUGUCUUUUUCAUUCUUAACCAUGGCGUUGUCAGUUUAUUUUCGAUUUAUGAGUUUGACUGUCGCUCUGGUAUUUUUCGCCCCUCUUUUAAAAGGAAGCUAUCAAACCAAGUGUCCAAGGUGAUGAAAUUGAUAUCCUCCAUUCAAUAAAGUGACGAACACAAUCACGAUUUGCUUUGCUGAUAUUUCACAAAUUACAAAGUAUAUGUCUAAUUGUCGUUACCACACUCCAUUCCUCUAUUUAACGAAUCUAACCUACAAAAUUAGACUUAUUACCUAUGUUGUACUUAUAUAAGCAGUACGACAGGUGUAUUAUAUAAAGCAGGAUCUGCUUACCUUUCAUGAUUACCUGCGAGCUUAUCUUGUUUUGGCGGGGUUUGUGUUACUCAGUGUUUUAUUUUUCUAUGUUGUGUUUUGUGUACAGUUUUUUGUCUAUUGGUCGAUGAUAUUUUUUUAUCAUAAAAUUGUCAAAUUAUUUUCGAACUAUUGACUAUAAUAUCCCUUUGGUAGUAGUUUCAACAUAUUUCAUUUGGAAAAGGAGCAACAGGAUUGUACAUAAGUUAUUACAACAUUAUAUUUACGUCAUCUCCACAUACAAGUUAUUACAAGAUUAUAGUGACGUCAUCUCCACACACAAGUUAUUACAAAAUUAUAGUGACGUCAUCUCCACACACAAGUUAUUACAACAUUAUAGUGACGUCAUCUCCACAUACAAGUUUACACUCAAACUACAUUAGAUAAAACAUGUAGGAAUGUAUGAAAUACAAAAUACAAAAAAAAAAAUAAAUAAAUAAAAAACAAAAAAUAAAAAAUAAAAAAUAAAAAAUAAAAAAUACAAGAUAAAUGAAGUAUAUGAUGAGACUGGAAUGACGUGAUGAGUAAACAAGUAGGAAUUCAGAUAGAAUGUUCUAAAUCUUUGAGUUAUUCUUAUAUAAGGUUGUACAAACUAAACAAUUUCUUUAUUUUGUUAAUAUUAUUGGUCACCGUCACCAGCCAUUAUUAGCACAAUUGAUAAAGCAUAUAUUUCAAUUUAAAAACAUCAUUUCUCUUACUUCUUUGUGAAGGGCACUCGAAAGAAAAGUGAUUGCUAUCGUCCCUUUUGUACAACUUUUGCCUCUCUUUGCGGAAAGUCUACUAAUUUCACCUUACUUACGAUAUUGUACCAUUGACUUUAAUCAUGAGAGGAUUUAUUUAUAUUUUCUUUUUAUAAUAGUAUUAAUGAGUAUUUACCUUUUAACAUCAAACGGGAAAGCUUUUAGAUAUUUUGUCUGUUGGGCCUUAAUUUUGAGAGCAAAACAAUGAUCUACCCUUUGACUAACUUUAAGAUAAUCAAUUAAAAUAACACAUAUAGCAGUUAGUAAGUUAUUCGAAUAUUGGACAUUACUCCGAUGGAUCAGGAUAUUAUCUUUGAAUCUUACUUAAAAAAUUACUCAUUUGUAUCUUUGGAAAUUGCGGUUAUCUGGAUAGGAAGAUUACAUUUACAUGUUAUAUCUAAAACUUACUUUAGGAUGUACACUUGUGAGGAGCCAAUAUCUUUUAGAAUUAAACUCAUUUCCUUAACCAAAUUUUUCGUGUAUAUUUCUGUAAAAAAGGUAAAUGAUUAAGAAAAAAUCAUAUGGUGCUGCACUUCUGUUUUUGCUAUGGACAUUUGAAUGUAUCCUUUUUAAUGAUUUACCAAUUUUUCAUAAAUUUGAACCAAGUUUUGGGCUAUUUUCAUGAAAAAAAAAAUACCGUUUCACAAUUUUUAUUCAUACCUUCACUGAAGAUCUGAAUAAAUUCAAUUAAAAAAAACAAUAUUUAGUUUUUCUUGUCAAAUUGACCAUGCUGUUCAUGUUGUAAAUUAGGAAUUUUUUCUUCAGAAAAAAACCUCAUUAAGAGAGCAAAACAGUGUAUGUCCUCAACAUUUGCUACGUUGCGACAUGUCUCACGAAAGUAUUAAGAACCUUUGUUUGUGAACAUACCGGUUUUCAAAAGUCAUAAAUUGAUUGAGAGAAAACAAAUCUAGGUUACAAACUAAAACUGAGGGAAACAUAUCAACUAUAAGAGGAAAACAACGAAACAACAGAACACUGAAGAGCAACAAAAAAAAAAAAAAACAAACGACAAUACAACAUGAAUAGAAACGAUAUGUUAGAUAACAAAUGCCAUAUUCCUAACUUGGUACAGGACAUUUUAAUAAAAAAAAAAAUGGUUGGUUGAUCCUGGUUUAAUGGCUAGCCAAAACUCCGCGCUUUAUAAUAAUGUUAAAUAUACCACUAAAAUGAUAUUAAAUAACAGGACUACAGUACAAAUAAAGAGUAAAAUAACUCUUAUUUAGAAAGACAUUGUCAAAGCUUAAUUGAGGUCUGGAGCUUGAUGUCAGUAACUGCCAGUAGUCUAUGUUCAUUUAUGUAUCAUUGUCACUUUGUUUAGUUUCUUUUGUUACCUGUUCUUAUAUCAGACUUGGGCUUCUUUCAAACUGACUUUUACUGUGCGAAUUGUUGUGUGUAUGUAUUUCUACAUUGGCUUGAUGUAUAGGGGGUAGUUGAGGUAUAAAAAAAUAUGUUUAACCCCGCGGCUUUUUUGCGCCUGUCCCAAGGGGAUUUUCUCGCUGUAUUGAAGACCCAUUGGUGUACUUCGGCUAUUUUCUGCUCUUUUUUUUCGGGUUGUUGUCUCUUUUACACUUUCCCCAUUUCCAUUCUCAAUUGUAUUGGCAAUUUCUUUUCUCUCCAACUGUGUUUAGGCUGUGAUGUCGUUGAUACAAUUUAGCAUUAUAAACAAUAAGAGGUAUACGAAAAUACGUGCUAUCUAGAUCUUUUAACACACAAUUGUUAAUUCAUGAAAAAUACAUUGUUGUCCAAGCAGACAAAUCACAUUACAUAAACUGCUUGAUAAAGGAAAUAGCUAUAGGUAUUGACAAUAUAUUUCGAUUUUUCACAUAUACCCCCGUGACAGAAGAACAGAUGAAGAAUUUGACUUUUGUUCACUUUAUUAGAUACCUAAAUUGCAGAAGGCUCUUACAGAGAAAGUUAUGUUGCUUGAUUACUUACUUCAAAUUGUUAAUUUACCAUUUAUAUGUUGCAAAAUAACUUCUGCUCUUGCAUAUGAAGUGAAUAUCCCCUGCUCCCCGCGCGUUGAUGAUUCCUUGUGGUAAAGUUGCCACAAUUUUACGAACGAAUCCCUAAGUUGGUUAACAUUUAUAGACAAUCUUUUGUAUAGAUAACGAUGGAUAUGUUACAAGUGUCUUUACCAAAAUACCGUCCCGUAUACUAUUGCCUUUUGGUCGGUUUUUUUUUUGUGUUUUUUUUUAUGGCGUUCUAUGUUUGUCUUAGAAUUAUAAAUAUUACACUACUGUGACGGUUGGUACCUAUUAAAACGUUUAAACCUGCUGCUUUUGUGUGUACCUAUUCCAAGUCAGGAACUCGAUGUUCAGUGGUUGUUGUAUGGUGCUGUGGUUCUCUUUUCUCGCCUUUUUAUAUAUAGAUUAUUCCGUUUAUCCUGUUUGAAUGGUUUUACACUAGUAUUUUUAGGACCCUUUAUAGCUUGCAGUUCAUUGUGAGCCAAAGCUGCGUCUUGAAGAACGUACCUUGACCUAUAAUAUACUUUUACAAAUUGUGACAUGGAUGGAGAAUUCUCAUUGGUCUUCAUAACACAUCUGGUUAUGAAUAUUCCUUUAGUGUCUUCCGUCUCUCUUUUGGAGGAUAACUAACUUAGCAGUCUUUUUAUUAGCUGGCCCUGGACCUUACAUAGAAGUCCGGAAAAGAGAAUGGAGGAUGUUACAAUAUGACUUACUGAGAUUACCAAAGGAUUUCUACGUUUGAAUUUGAAGUUUAAUUUUACCCUCUUGGUCUACUGUUUGAAAGUCCCUUAUCAAAUGGUAAAGUCAAAAGCUCAAACAUAUCAAACGAAUGGAAAAAAAAAACUGUCAUCUUCCUGAUUUGGUACUUCUUACGUAGAAAAUGGUGGACUGAACCUGGUUUUAUAGUUAGCUUAACCUCUCACUUGUAUGAUAGUCGCAUAAAAUUCCAUUAUAUUGACAAUGAUGUCUGAAAAAAACAAACAGACAUUAUUUUUUACUUAGAUAUAAGGGUAGUGAACCGAUGUUUAGUGUAGAAAAUAGACGAACAACUGUAUUUAAUCAACUACUUAUGAACUACGAACCUGAUUUGAGUUUUCACCUUACAUAUUAGAGCUUCCGAAUAUUUGUUCUUUAAUUUUGCAGUUAGUCUGUCAAUGUUAUUAUGAGUAAUUAAAUUUUCGGGAAUUGUUUAAGUGAGUAAACUGCUCUUUUUUCACCUUAUCGGAUCUUUAUCUAAUACAAUGGAAACAAAGUACUUUAGAGCCGGUUCAGUAUAAAUCAGACAAGAGAAGCACUACAUUUUAUAUUAUCUGAGAAACAGAUAACAAAACACAGGAGUAAGCAAAACAAAAAUAGAAAAUAUCCUAUCAUAGAAUUCUGAUAAUUAGUAAAAGCAAGCUUGUAGUACUAAACCUGCUGAUAUGAACGUCUGAAAAAUCAACUACAUAUUUUGCGAAGAAAACAUUUGAAUAUUGUGUCGUAGUCAUAAUUAAUAUACCACUUGCGUGAGGGUAUUAAGAAGAUAUCAAGGAGUAAACAACUCAAAGUAUUGCCACAAACAGAGAGUAAAAGUAUACAGAUAUGAAACACUUGUUUGUAAUUGUAAAUUGUCAAGAAUCCUCAACCUAUAAGCCAAAAAGCGUUCACAAAGAUCAGUCACUUUAAUGUAUGAUCAAUGUUACCUGUACACAUUGCAACCUUACUGUACCUGCAAUAACGUAACUAGAAAUCUGAAAUCUCAAAGGAACAUAGACUAGACUGUUGGUUUUUCCGUUUGAAUGGUUUUACACUAGUAAUUUUGGGCCCUUUAUAGCUUGUUGUUCGGUUUGAACCAAGGCUCCGUGAUGAAGGCCGUACAUUGACCUAUAAUGGUCUUUUAUAAAUUGUUAUUUGGAUGGAGAGUUGUCUCAUUGGCACUCACACCACAUCUUCCUAUAUCUAUGUAUCAUUUAAAUUUUACAAAAUAGCACUGUUUGCUGUCUGUGUGGUAAAAUCUGGUACCGACAGUACUCCAAUAUCGUCAUUGACCAUUAUGUUAUAAAUAACAUCCAAGUUAUCAGCAGAAGUAUGUAUGACAUCAAUUAACUAUACAAUUGAUUAAGUACCAUCCCUGUAUUACUUUCUAGAAACUCACUUCCUGAAGCUGGAACCGCAUUUGAAUAUUACAAGUGAAUGCAAAUUAUAUCUCUUGUUUGGAAGUAUGCUGGUGUAAAUACUAGUUUGAGCAACAGUGAGAAGUAAAUAGAAGACAAUGUGUUACUUUACAAACAUUUGCAGCUUUAUAAUCUAGUUUAAAAAACAAAAUAUUUAGAAAUUUUACUAUUACUAUUACUAUUACUAUUUUAUUUAUUAACUGAAUAUUAUAUUUAAAUCUGGAGGAAAAAAAAACAAUUGAUGAUUGACUCUUUAUUGAGACUCAUUGCGACGAAGAAAUCUGCUUCUAAUUAUAAAUUUAAAGUAAAAUUGAUGAUUCCGGAAAAUACAGACAAGAAAACAAUCUCUAAACAAAAAAUCAACCGAGAGUUCAGCCGUAUAGGAUGCAUUUUGGAGAUAAAAAUGGUCUGCAAACAUUGAAAGCGUUUCAUACCAAAAAAGUUCAAUCAAUUUAUGUAUGAAUUCAUUUAAGACUUGUUAUAAGCUGAUAUACCAUGUUUUAUUUGCUUCUGACGUGACUCUGUUCGAUUGAUUUUUAUAGAUAUGUUUAAACACGAAAUCUUGUAAUGAUCAUCAAAGAUAUGAAUUUAGGAAUUCAAGAAAUAAUUAUUUCUAAGUGUUAAAUUUGGUACCUCGAAAAUUAAUUUCUGAUUGGAAGUCAAAGAGAGAAUGAAGACCAUGUUACAUUCUUGGACAUGAAUACUUUAAUUUUUUCACUGAUAAUGCCCAAAAUAAUUAAUAGCAUUCUCCUGAUGAAAACGUUUACUUUCACAUUAAAUUGGGAGCCUGGUACAAAUAAAAACGUAGACGGCAGACUUUAAAUCGUACUGAAAUGCAUACACCUAUACACAAGGAGGAAUUAAUCAAAUCUCUUGUCAUCCAAAAUUUCAAUCUAUUCUUCUUUUUGCCUUGUCACAACUUGCUAAUUAUGACAACGAUUACCAACCUCGGCAAAUUUGAUAAAAAUGUACUAGUCUCUCUACCUACUAACAACAGGAUAUUGAAUGGUCUGCCAAGUGUAAUGAGAUCCCCUUUGUAUAUAUUAAUUUCUUUAAAGUAAUACAACGAAUGGCUCCUAAAUGGCUGGAUACAAGUUUCCCAAAUCUGUAUCCCCAAUGUUAAUUCAUUUACAAUUUCAGCAUCAGUAAUGUUUGUUUCUUAGAUACGUUUGAAUUGCCUAUUUUUAUUGUUUGCAUCUGUUGCAUUGAGUUGCCUUGUAUUUAUCGUUUGUUACAUUACAGUUGCCUUGUAUUUGUCUUUUUUGUUUGUUUGUCAAAUAUAAGUGGUAUCAGCAUUUAUGGUUGGUUCUUUAUUGUUUGUCAGAUAUAAAUGACAUCAGUACUUUUGGUUGGUUCAUGUUUGUUGAUAAUGUUUGAGUUGAACUGUCGCUAUUUAUUUUUUUGGUGUUUGUUUGUUACAUUUAAUUGUUCAAAUUAAUUGGCUUUUUUUAUAUUGUUCAUUCUUGUUUUUUUACUUUUACUUUUUGUUUGUGUUCCUUUGUUACGUUUGCAUAACUGGACUUGUAACUUAGAAAUUUUUACAAUUUCAUUGUUCGUGUUCAUUUACGCGAAGAUGGCUGUUUUAGGGGCAUUUAUUAGAAGAAGAAAAACUAUCUCACCCCUCUUAUAUGCCUUUGAUAUUUAUGGAAAUUAUUUCAGAUGAAUGAUUGGACGUUGUUAUAGGGUAAAUGUUAUUUUCGCGUGUCAUUUUCUGGUGACCACUUUUCUUAACAAGUUUUACUAAUGCUUUAAUAAAUAAGGUGCAUUUUUAUUCACAUCUCCUUUUUGUGAUCAUUAAAAUACAGGUUUUGUAUUAGGUUAUGGUGGGAAACAGGAUGUUUCAAAGGUUGGAAUAGUCGAAAAAAAAUAUUAUUAAAAUUCUAUUCUUAAGUUUACAGGAAAAAAUGCAGAAAUGCAUCUUUUUAAAGAAUGUAUUAUUUUCUAAUGAAGGUUCGUUCUUAUCUUCGUUGGAAAAACCAAAAAGUCCAAAAAGAUAUGACAAACCAGGCUAAAGCUGUCUGAGAAUUAGUAAGGCAAUGAGCUUUUAAUUGUUUUAUGGAUAUUCGUCAUAUAUUGAAAUACCAAAAGACGACUAGAAGUCACUAUACGGUCUAUUGAUCCACACGUAGUAGGAGCUGCUUAUCCUUUCCGGAAUACGCAUGGGCUUUGUUCAUUGUUGAAGGCCGUACGAUGACCUAUAGUUGUUAAUGUCUGUGUCAUUUUGGUCUCUUGUGGACAGUUGUCUCAUUGGCAAUUAUACCACAUCUUCUUUUUUGUAUUUGAUUCUUGAAUUUUGGUUAAGUUCAUGUUGCUUUGUCUGACAUAAGACGUUUUGUCCAGUGUUCAUUCAUUUUUGUUUACUUGUGUACUUAUAUUUUAUUUAAUUCGUAAUCUAUCGAGUAAUUAUCAUACGCUACUUUUUUGGCUAUUGUACAGUAUGUCUGUGAGGUAUGUGAUUAAAAUUCUGGCAAUUACUGCCACAUUUAAUUUUUUUUACGAGUAGCAGGUUUCAUUAGUUUUUGAACCAUUGUUAACCCAUAAUUUGUUUCUUUGAGUUCGUUCUUUGUUGUACUUCAUGAGGGAUUUGUGAGCUUUUUAUGAGUUAUUGUUUUUCCCUUUCGUAGUUGCUUUAUAUGUUUGUUACGCUACUGUUGUUUUUUCGUAUAAUGUAGAAUAACAAAAAUACCGAAUUCCGACGAUAAUUCCAAACGGAGAGUUCUUUAGCAAAUGGAAAAAUUACAAGCUAAAACACAUCAAAUGAAUGAAUAACAACUGUCAUAUUCCUGACUUUGUAAAUGCAUGUACGUAUUAGAAAAUGGUGGAUAAAACCUGGUUUUAUAGCUUGCUAAACCACUCAAUUGUAUGACAGCCGCAUAAAAUUCCAUUAUAUUGACAACGAUGUGUUAUGAUUUGUCUCCUACCUACUAGAUAACUAAAUAAUACACUAUUCAAAAUUUAAAAUUGGUAUUUUUGAAUUGCUUCCAUAAAAAUCAGAGAUCGCUUUAUACAAAAAGAACGUUUCGUUAUUAUAUAAGACAUGUAGAUAUGGUCUUAUUGUAAAUUAAAUAACUAUGACCACAACCUAUCAAAUAUAGUAUGGCAUAAAAGACCCGGAUAUGAAAAACCAAUGGCCUGAUUUAUUUAUAUAACAACAAAUGAGACAGCACCAACCACAAACACUGAACUAUAGGCUCCUGUCUUUGAACAGACAAAUGCCGAAUAUGGCGUCGAUAAAAAUAUUUCGAAUGUUGACCUAGCAUAGGACAUUAAUGAAACAUGAAACCAUCUUUUAAAAAAAACGAUCAAUAGAACUUGACUCAUCAGAUCGAAACAAAGCACGACAAACGUACAGAUACAAAGUACCGAUCUAAGAGUGCUCGCAGUGUGCCCGUAUUUUUAUUGUCUAGACCAGUGGGCGAUUUUGAUGUCGACAUAUGGUAUAAACUGUAGAUACCAUAUGUUGCUGUCUAUAUCACCUGCGCAUUCCGUUUGAUGUUUAUAAAAUAAUGAUUGUUUUCACACCCACUUUUGUCUGAUGUGUAACUGGACUGUUUAUUUGUAUAGAUAUUCAUACCAAAAUAGUGGGUUGAAUCACGUUUUGUUUUUGUGGAGCAAACAUCUUUUUGACAGAACUUUAUAGUUACAGAGAAACGAUGCUUCACAAGCAAAAUCUCAUACUCCAAAUCAGAUACAUCAAAAUUUUCAAAAUAAGAGACUGUGCGUUGUGUUCGAAACAACAUGUUAUAAGGGAUAUCUGAAAUUCUCUAAAAUGGAUUAAUGUGAAAAUCUUGUUAGUAUCCAAGCACAAAAUGAAUCGUCCGUCGUCAACUCGAGAAGCAUAACUCUCUUACUAAGUUUAAUAAAAAUAAUUCUACUGACCAUUUAGCUUAGCAACAUUGCUGUCACCAUAUGAGAUAUCAAAAUUAGUUAGUUGUAAACGUAUCUAUUUUUGCCAUUCGAUAGGGACUUUCCGUUUUGAAUUUUUCUCGGAGUAUUUUUGUGAUUGUAAUUUUUAAGGCUUUGGCUUUAAAUGUUUUCGUAGCUCUUCAUCUUUUAGUAAGCUACAAAGUAAGUUAUGAAUAUUAAGGCCUCGAGCAUCACUGAAAUAAAAAUGAUUAUCAAAAUGCGAAUCUGGUGCAGGGAAAAUUGAUACCGUAUAUGUUAUAAACUUAUUCUCCAACAAUUGUGUAUUAGUUUUACUUAAUAAUUGAUAAGAAAUGGCGGAGAAGAGACUUUUUUUUUUAAUUUAAUAUUCAAUUCACGAGGACACAACUAAACUGACUAACUGCAAAUAUUGCAUUUCUUUCCAAAUUGUAAAAUAGCGAGAAAGAAUAACAAAAAUAAUUUGGAAUUAUUUUCCUUCAUUUCCUCCAACUGAUUCAUUUUUUUUUUAAAGUUUACAAAUACAUUGAUAUAUUUUUUGCUUCUAAAAACACAAUAUAAUCUCAGAAGAAAACCUGGACAACUCUAUCCUAUUCAAUAUAACCGUUCUUUGAUUUUUUCUUUAAAAAAUACAUGGCACACUAAGGUUUAUGACAUGUUGACUGGGUUUUGCAAUCAUUUCAAAUAUUUUUACUAAUAAAAUGCGUUUUAUGAUUUUAAGAUGUGACUUAUUACUUUGUGAAUAUGCUAGUUGUUGUCAACAUUUAAAAAAGAAGAUGUGGUAUGAUUGCCAAUGAGACAACUAUCCACAAAAGACCAAAAUGACACAGACAUUAACAACUAUAAGUCACCGUACGGCCUUCAGCAAUGAGCAAAGCAGUCCGUUUCUAUGUGUGUUGAUGUUUGCUUUUGUUGUAGUUAAGUAUUUCUGUUGUUCCGUUGUUUUCUUUUUAUAGUUGAUGUGUUUCCCUCGGUUUAAGUUUGUUAACCGGAUUUGUUUUGCUAAAUCGAAUUAUGACUUUUGAACAGCGGUAUCCCACCGUUGCCUUAAUUUAUAGAUUAAAUGGGUCCGGUGUAUUCUAUUGUUUUUGCAACAUUUUGUAUUUUGUCAAACUGUUAUUUCACAUGUCACUGUAAUACAAAUUUACUUAUUACGUGUUGUGUUUAAAACUUUUCAUAUCUUGCCACUUAUAGUUAUAGGCAUCUCAUCCGAUUAUUUCUAUAGAUUAUCAGAAAGGAGUAGGUCCGGUAAGAGCCUAUUUUGGCCUCAAAUUUCAUGUUCGUCCGAUGAAAUAUUUUGGACACUUUUUAAACACGUAAGUGUCUAUUUCAGUCAAAUCAAUUAUUUUAUGUUAAAGAUUUGAAAUAAUUAAGUAAUUUAAGACGCUCAAAUGCUAGCUGCUGAAAUAUGAAAAAUCAAUCACAAAUGUCAUAAUAUGUCAAUUUUCAGAUGUUUAUUGGUCAAAAUUGGAAGUGGUCGUACCUUGUUUACUCUCAACCUUUAUAUAUGUUAUGUAUUAUGGCCACAUCCAUUUAAUACGGAAACCGUCUAAAAUCUAACUCAAAUGCUAAAAUUAUGAAGAUUCCAGUAAUUCAGCAUGAUUUUAAGAUGCUAGUACCCGAUGUAUGUCCAUUGUAUUGUGAAAAAUAGCCCAUAUUUAUGUAGCAGAAGUAUUCGACUUUCCAAUAACUUGCUUAAAUUUCACAUUUUAACAAUUUUGUAAAACUGCUAUAUUUUGGGGCCAACAAGGGGUCUUACUGAGCCUAGUCCUUUGUCAAAUUGGUGAAAUAAUCUUUGUAUAGGUAUUCUUGUUUUCUAAGCAAUACUUAGAUACUGUAAACCAACUAAUUUUUACGAGCGAUUGAAUUUCGCGACUUUCGCGAGUAGAAAAAUAACGCAAAUAUAAAUCGUCGCGAAUAUGUAGAUCUUGGAUCUAUCCUUAUGUAAUUAUAUCGACUAGAUAAGAAAAUUGCGAAAUUAAAUCGACGCAAAGUGGACUAGGAAGAGUUAAACGCGAAAUAAGUAUCCGCGAAAAUAAGUUGGUUUACAGUAUUGAAUGACACUUACUAACGUUCAGCGCCAAGUCAAGAAAAUGGCAGUUGUUAUCUAAUAGUUUGUUUCUAUAUAAAUCGUAUUGUCGUUGCUGUUUGUUGCGCUUUUGUGUUCUGUUGUUUUGUUGGUUUCCUCUUAAAAUUGAUGGGUUUCCCUCGGUUUUAGUUUGUUACCCGGAUUUGUUUUCUCUCAAAUAAUUUAUAACUUUUGAACAGCGGUAUACUACUGUUGCUUUUAUUUAAAAAAAAAAUAAAAAUAACCACAAUAUCGAACUCCAUGUUACGCGGAUUUUUUUUCUCUCAAUCGAUUUGUGACUUUUGAACAGCAGUAUACUAAUGUUGCCUUUAUUUACUACUUUGUGUACACGAAGUAGGUGAAAUGCUAUCAUUUGAUUCUUAUUUCAAACCGUGUUCAUCUCACAAUGAUCGACAAAACAUCUAUUGGUGAAAUCAAAUGUAUAACUCUAGUCAUCGAUUGAAAAAAAAAAAACAAAUAACCAGCACUAGAGGAAUACCAUAUGAAUUACAGAUAUAAAAUAGUGGCCGGGUACAAAAACAAUAAAGUUUAGCAUAUACACCUACUAUGAAUUAAAAAGUAGGAUUUUCAUUUAUGGAUAUUAGUAGUAAGUAUAACUUUUAAGGAUUAUGAAAAUAAUCAUAAAACAGUAAUGAUUUGUAUUGAUAUAAAUAAAUUCAUCAUAUGUACAAGGACUGAAAUUUUAUAUAACGCCAGACUCGCGUUUCGACUUAAAAAGACUCAUCAGUCAAGCUCGAAUAAACCAAUGAUAACAAGGCCAAAUAAAGUACGAAGUUGCAGAGCAGUGAGAACCAAAAAUUCGUAAAAGUUUUGCUAAAUACAGCUAAGGUAAUCUAUGCUUGAGGUAGAAAAACCUUAGUGUUUCAAAAAUUCAAAGUUUUGUAAACAGUUAAUUUAUAAUUAUGACCAUAUCAAUGAUAAUUCAUGUCAGCACAGAAGUGCUGGUUUUAUUGUAAUAUGAUCACUUGUUUCAUUUCUUCUAACGAUAUGACUUGAACAAUUUAUAAAGUAGACAUAGAAAAAUAUACAGAUUAUACUUCAAAACGUUAUUAUAUUAUAACAUAUUGUCAUGAAGAAGUACAACUCCUUGUUGCAUCUUGGAAGACAAUAAUCAUGAAAAAGCGUUUUGUGCUGUUAUGUCGACCAAUUAAAGAAACCGAUAUAGCUUCAAAAAUCAAAAUGAAUCCUUACAAAAAACUCGUUUAAUUCAGAUAAAUGGAAUGCAUUAAAGUACAUGUAAUAUCAAGUACAUAAAUUGUUGAUAAUCAAAUAAUGCAUUAUCGGUCACUGUAUUUGCACGACUGAACAAAUUUUUUUAUAUAUUUUUUAACGAAUAAGAUUACAGAUUUGUUGAGAGAUGUCGCCUUAAAGUGUUCUCUUCAUAGUCAUAUUGGCCUUAUAACAAGGCCCACAACUAGUUUUAUCCAAUAGUGAUUCUUAUAUUCAAAUCAAAGCGAGAAUAGCAUAAAUAGGUGAGAAUCCCACACCUAUAGGUGUGCUUCAGCUGGAACCAACAUUUUAAACUGUCUAUAAAAUGUUAAAGACACACGCUGGAAAUUUUCACAGAAAAGGGAAGUUACCAGCGAUUAAAUGAGGUCAUCGAAUUUUUUUCAUUUAGUUCUAUGUACAUUCAUCGGUUACCCUUUAUCAUCUUUUGAAUCAGAGAUAUAACUCCUAGUGGAAACAUUUCAACUUAAUCGUUAAUGAUACAAGUCGUGAUUCUUUAGCUUUGUAGACUGAAGAAAUAUUUCCAAAAUAUGAUAGAAAACCAAUUUCUACAACGACCUUUUUAUCUUGUUCUGUCAAUGUAACCCCUCUGCCAAAAAAAAAUAAUGUAGACUACAUCAACGGUUUCUUAAUCUGUCUUAUUUUGGCAACUACAUCUGUACAUGUCAGGAUCCCAUCAUGGUGAUUCUUGGCUAUGUAUUAAUAACGUUGUUGUCUUACUCAUCUAACUCUGUAAUGAGUCUAUGCAGUUCUGUGGUCAGUGAUCAGGUGGUUUAAGUAGGUACUACUGUAAUCACUAGCCAUUCAACACUGAGGUUGUGAGUUUGAACCCCACUCGUGCAAGUAGUGCACUCGAUUCCAUAUCUAAAUUGACUAGGAUUGUCAGUUUUCCUAUUGAAGGUCGAUGGAUUUCUCCGGCCAUUCCGGCUUCCUCCGCAAAUAGAAACUUGCCGCCACGAAAAAGCCAAAAAGAAGUGUUUAAAAGAAGCGUUAAAACACCAAAAAUUUAAAAAAUAAAUCUAAGUCAAAUGAACCGAGGUUCUUUUUUUAACAAUGGUCGGAAAAUUAGUGUAUUAAUUGGUGUGUAUAUACUUAACUAUAAGUCUUCGGUGCUCAUUAAAAUAAUACAAAAUGAAAUAUUUUUCAUUUGGUAUGGUUUGUGGUUUAGAUUCUUUGAAAUAUAAAAAAAAAAAUUAAGUUUCUUGUUUUAUAUUUGAACCAACUGCCCUACAAAGGGCAAUGCUGGCAUAUUUUAUGUUAAAGUCUUGCAUAUUUGCUGAUUUAAUGUUCUUUAGAAUACUUUCUUUGUUGUUAAUUUUAUUCCAACAUAAUCAGUAUUGUUAAGAAAUGUAUGAUAUAUAAUUCAGUUUGAUAAACUAUGUAUCAAAGACACAUAUAAAUAGCACGAAUACAUUGAAUAUUUUAAGAUAUAUAUUACAUAAAGAAAACAAGAAAAAAAGAACAAUAAUCAGUGUUCAAACUUUUUACGACAAGUAGCCAAUUGUCCCAAUUGUAGAAAAGUUGAUACAUAUGAUGUGGCUCCGUUCUUAUACAUCCCGUUAUUGUGUUAUUGUGCUAUGGAUUUUGUUUUGCUAAUGGGAUUUGUCUUUAUGGAUUUUUGUGCUUUUUUGUUACAUAUAUGUUUGUCUUAUAGGGAUUAAGAUUAUAAUACAAUGUUGACUGCUGUACCCCUAUUUUUGAUAUUUUAACCUAUUCUGUCUGUUUGUUUUGUUCACACAUCGUUGUCAAUAUAAUGGAGUUUUAUGCGUCUUUUAAACCAGGUUUAAUCCCCAUUUUCUACAUACGAAAAUGCAUGUACAGUCAUUUAAUAGUAGUGUGGUGUCAAAUCUGUCAUUUCCUUAAUCUUAUUGUAAGACAAGUCUACUAUUCUAGUAGUUUGGAAAUUUUGUUGUGUGAUGCCUCUAGUAUCAACAAAUACUUCACGUCAUCAAGAGUGUGUUGAAGCUUUUGAUUUGUCGUUUGAUUACGGACUUUCCGUUUUGAAUUUUCCUCUGAGUUCGGUGUUUAUAAUAAUUGUAAGUAUUUGAGAAGAACUUUCAUGAUUUGACAUCAACACUUAAAACUUUUAAAAAUAUCAUUUAAACGGGUUUGGAUAAAUUCUUCUUCUUCUCAAUUAUAUCAGUUUUAUCAGUUUUCAGUGUUUCUACUAGGCUCUGAUUUUUAAUAAAAGUAAAACUUUUUUCUUAGUUUAUGAUUGCAGUCAAAUUCUUUGCCCAAAGAGUGAUGUAAAGUCUGCACUAGAACAUAAGAGAAUAUGAACAUUUAAUGAUUGCAUAAAAAUAUGUGUAUUAUGGUAAGUUAAGAGAACAAAAUUAGACUAAGCGCACUUUAACAUCACCUGAACUUUCAUUGUAGUAUUGUACUUUCCGUAGAUACAUUUGCGUAUAAACUUUAACAAAAGUUAUGUUAUUGUUUACUGUAAAGUUUUUAAAAAAUAGAAGUAAAACAUAAAGUGUUAUUAUACCUUCAAAUUCCAACUCCUGUUGUUAUUUAGGAUGGAGCAGAAGGCCAUAACAUUGAGAAGUGUUUAUACAAAUAACUACCAUAAUGAUAAUGAACCCAUCGUUAUUACGUGUGUUUAUUUUCCAGGGACAGACAGAAUAACCUGCAAAGUAUAUGCACAAGGGCAGGGUUUGUUGAUUGACGCCAAUGAAAAAAGUAAGUAGAUUAAAUUGUGGAAUAUUUUUAAAUUCAUGAGUUCUUAAAAGGGAAACUUCCUGUUAAAAGCUAGCCACAUAUCAAACUUGUUUGUUGCCUUACUUUCGCAUGAGGAUAUUUUUGCCAUUGUCGUCACCAUUUCCUGUACUGACAAUGUAUUACUAUAUAACUUUUCAUCUCCUUUAGACCAAGAUAUUCGCAGACAAUUUCUUCUGCUUUUGUUUCUUCAACACCCUUAAUGAAUCUUCGUACUAUCCCUAAGUUAUCCAUAUGCUUAAAUAUUACUUUGAGUGCUGUUAAGAUAAUUCUCUAAUUCUUACUUGAUUUAUCCUCUAUCUGACCUGUCGAUUGUUUUUAUCUAAUUAACGUGGGGUUCGUUUGACCUCAGUUCUUCAUUGGUCAAAAUUUGCUACGUACAUCAAACUUUCUUGCUUUCCUCUGAAAUCCCAAUUGUGACAUCAUGAAAAAAUGCAAUCAUAUCUGAUGACGUCACAUAGAAAGAACACAUCUUUCUGAAAGUUGUUUGAAAAGAAGGAUUAAGAUUGUCUACAUAUCAUGAAAAGCAUUAGAGAACAGAUUCCACCACGAAAAUAUCGUGCAAUCCGCUAUACUCGGCGAGCCACUCGUUUCAAAUUUGUAAUUUUGAACUUCUCGAGUGGAUAUAUAUUGUAUCAAAUUCGAUGCAGUGGUAUAACCUAUAUAGCUCUUAACUCUUAGCUUCAUUCCAUUUUCUUACGCAUCAAUAUUGACUAUGCUUCACAAAGAGGAAAUAGAGAAUGGAAAUGUUUGCAGUCUCUAUUAAUCGGUGUUAAAAUUGUUCACUCUGGUUUUUGUUGUAUAAGUCAAUUUUAUAUUAAUAAAGACAACUGUUAAAAGUCUGAUCCUUGAUAGCUGGCUCAUAAUUUGAUACACAAAAAUCAUUCGUUGGGUUUGAAUCAAGAAAGGUGAAAGGACAAAAACCUGAAUUUGAGGGACAGGAAAUGUCUACCAGUCUUUACAAGACACAUUAGGUGUAAAAUUUCAUCAAAGAUACCAUGAUUAUAAUACGAUAUGGCAGACGCACGUUUCAUCUUUAUGAUAUUCAUCAGCAACAUUCAAAUCUACACAGUUUGAAUGGUAACUAAGAUGAAUUUAAAGUGCAUGAACAAUCCUAAAAUAUAGUUCCCAUUUUGUAUGAUGCCAUAUAUGUCUGGGUAGAAACGACUAUUUUAAGUGUUUGAUUGAUUUCUACAUCUUAAUAACAGUAAAUGUUCAUGAAAAAAUCUUAUAAAUGAUAUAUCAGGUCAAUACAGGAGCACUGACUACUGGUCUAACAGUACCCUCCGGGGCGAAAAGUCAUCGACGAUAUCUUUCAAUAUAAUUCAAUAAGCCAGACGCACGUUGCGAGCACUGAUUUUUGGGCUGAUGAUGUCCUCUCGGAUGAGAGGUUCUUCACCUGAAAACAUAGUGUUGAUAUCUAUGACUGUUUCGUGUUUGGGUUAUGUUAUCCAUUUAUUGCUUUGAUAACUUAUAACCCGAUUGUUUAUACAAUAUUAGGUUUUCUAUUGACAAAGCUUCAAAUAAUAUUGUCCAUGUAAGUAAACGUACUACUGCGAUUGUUUAAUAAAAGAAUUAGGAAUAAAUGAGCAGUCAGAUAAUCCCAAAUACCAACAAAUUUAAGGCUGAGAAAUUCUUUAUGGCUUCAAUAAGCAUUGCAUUGAAAAGCAAAUCUGAGGAUUUACCUUGUUUGUAUUAUAUAUCUUAGCUCCACUACAUUUCUUCUAGGUACUGAUGUUGUUUAUUUUCUUAAUUACUGUGGAUUCAUUAUUAAUCGUCGGAUACCAAUUUUAUAGGAUUUCUUGUGUACUAGGAAACCAAGAAUUUAAAUGUUCAACAAAUUACAACUUUUCGAAAAGAAUAUAUGCAGACUUUGUCAAAACAACGAGAUUAAAUAAGUUAUCUUUAAUCCACAAAAAAUGGUACCCAUGAAAAUAAAUAAAUAAAAAUUAAGUGUUUUUGCGUUCCUGUUUUUUCUUUGUAAAUUAAUUACCUUUACUGCUUAAUGCAAUUUGGUAGUGUUCUUUUGGCGUUGCUCGGUGCUUGCUCGUCCCACCGGUGUGUUUUGUGCCGUGGUCAUUGUUUUGUUUUGUUUUGCUUGUCUUUCUUUUUUGUUAGUGCGCUAAAUGUUUGUUUAAUAGUGGUUAAGAUUGUAACACAAAAGGUUUAAUCCGCCAGUUCUACUUUAGGAAUGCCUGUGCCAACUCGGGAAUAUUACAGUUGUUUCCCAGCCGUUUGAUGUGAUUGAGCUUUUGAUUAGGCAUUUUAUAAGAGAAUUUACGAUUUGAAUUUUUUGUAUUUUUGUUUAUCUUAUCUUUUGCUUACUUAUAUCGUUUUAAAACACAUGUGAACUGUGACUAUUAAGAUAUUUAAAAAUGAAUCAAUAUUAAUAAAGGUACAAAAUUAGAAGACAGCAAAGUAUCGAUACUCUCGGGAACUAAACGUGCACAUGCAGAGGAAAUGAUUUGGACGCAUUAAUACACAGAAUAUCGAGAUGCAUCACACAUAACGUGGUAUUGCUUCUGUCACCUCUGUGGUGACAAUAAAAAAAAAUUAGACAGUAAACGAAAAAUGGCCACUUUUAAGUACUUAUAUCUAUACCUCUUAAUGCUAAAUUAGCACGUUGGUUAUAGUUUUAAAAUCAAAUUAAUUCAUUUAAAGCAACAUAAUAAAUGAUAUCAUACUUGUCUUAUUUUGUUUUACUUUAAAUUCAUGGAAUUGACGCAAGAUAAAGCUGAAAAUUAUUUCUUUAGAUGACACCGCAAAUAUAUUUAAAACCAAGAAAAGCAGUUUUUACCCACACUUCAUUAAGUGGAAUAUAGCAACCAAAUAUUUCGAUUUCUAUAUGAUAUAAAUUAGACUAUAGAACAUCUCAUUCUUGACAGCUGUUCAUUUAUUGAUAGGGGCAAUAGUGGUUUGUCGAUAUUUAUAUUCAAGUUCUAUUUUAUGCUAAUUCUGAACAAACAGUAUGACAUUUUUAAUAAUUCUAUUUUUUUGCAAAUUCAAUCUGUUUAUGUAAAGGGGUAAACGAUAAAAUGAAAACACAUCACACAAGCAUACAACAAAAUAUUGGACCAAUGAUAGUUGUCAAAACGUCUCCUUUCCUUUUAAAAAUGAGGGAAAAGAAGAUGGAGACCUAAUUCUUAUUUCACUUAUUAAAAAGAAUGUUCCCAUAGUACACUAUCAUUUACUAUGUUCAGUGGACCGUGAAAUAAGGAAAAAAUCUCUUAUUUCGCUUUAAAAUUAGAAAGAUCAUAUGAUAAGGAACAUGUGUACUAAGUUUCGAACUUCAACUUAAUCACAAACUACCUUGCCAACGGAUGAACAAACAGACGCAAAGACCAGAAAACAUAAUGCCCCUCUACUAUCGUAGUUGGGGCAAAAAAAGAAAUCAAAAUGCACGCCUCCGGGUACGGGAGUUCACUGCAUUAAAGACCCAUUGCUGGCCAUCGGCUAUUGUCUGCUCUUUGGUCAGGUUGUUGUCUCUUUGACACAUUCCCCAUUUCCAUUUUUAAUUCAUUAUUUGUACGAAACUUUAAAUGACUUUCGUAGGUGUGGCAUUAAAAAAGAAAUUAAAAUGCACGCCUCCGGGUACGGGAGUUUCUCACUUCAUUAAAGACCCAUUGAUGGCCUUCGGCUAUUGUCUGCACUUUGGUCAGGUUGUUGUCUCUUUGACACAUUCACCAUUUCCAUUUUUAAUUUAUUAUAUGUACAAAACUUUAAAUGAGCUUUCCUCACGUAUGGAGCAGUAUCUUUUCAUCCUUCUAGAGUAUAUGUGAUCAACCCCAGCCUUUGAUGGUUUUUUUUUAACUUUUAAAGUUCUUUAUUUUAUGUUGUGUCAAGUGACAAUUUUUCCGGAUUUUAUAUAAAAGUCAUGGUCAGAUUUCGUCUAUUUCUGUUGAGACGUAAGAAUCUUUGUAGACAAGCUUUUCUGUUGGUGUGCAGUCGUAACCUAUUGUAUAUCUUUUUCUUGAUAUACAAGACAUACCGAUAUGUUCGUUUACAUGUUAAUGCAGCACUAAGAUAUCUAGUUGUUUUAUAUGUAUUGGAUUUUUGUACAAUCUUUUACUUAUGGCAAUUGCACAUAUCAGCUCUUGUUUUUCUUAAACGAGAAAAACGUUGAUUUGUUCAAUAUAUUUUCAACUUUGGGGUACAAAUGUCGAUAUUAAACUUUUUUACUGACUAUAUGUGUGUGUUAACAAUGUAUUAAUUGCCAUUGCAUGGACCAAAUUAAAAUAAAAUAUGCAGGAUUGAUUACAAAAAAUCUACUUUUGGUUUUCAAGUCCAUAAUUCGUAACUUUGUCAUUGGUUGACUUUAAAUAUAUUUCAUUCUUUUUCUUUUUGAUAAAUUGGCUCUUUCAUUAAAUAAUUAUGUUUUUGUGAUCCGGCUUAUGGCUUUAAUUACCGAUCGGUUUUACUUAUUCGCUGAUUUUGAUUUAUAAUAGCGAAGUUGGUGAAGAUGUACAAUUUACACCGAAUUAUACUUUCACUUUUUCGUUAUAAAACUUCACUUUGGGUAGUUACAUUGAUCUUGUUUUAAUGGUUGUGAGUAUUUGAUACUGUUUGGCUACGUAAAAUGAAAAAAGAUAUUCAGGUGAUAGUUCCAACAAGAGGAGAAAGUAGUCUUAUGAUGUUUGAUGUCGUGAUGCUAAUUAAAAACUAAAUAAAAUCAUAUUUACUCCAAAAGGAUCAAGACUUGUUGCAUGGAAAGGAUAAGCGUCUUGCGUAAUCUACCAUGCAGAUUGUAGACUCAGAAAAAUGUCACAAAAAAGAGCAGGAUACAAUCAGCUGUUUAGAUAAAGUUCAGAUGACUAUCAUGGUACCAUACGAUCCAAUCUCGGGAAAGGGAAUAUCUCAUGAAUUAAAAACUGUACACAUCAGAUCGGUUAUCUAAUUGUGACAGUGUCCGUGAAACUGAUUUGAAGUUAAUUUGUGUCGUUUUUCCUUAUAUCCCUGUUGUAUCGGUUGUUGUGUAUCUAAUUUUUUUUUUUUUUACAAAACGUGAACACUCUCUUAUCUGCAUCAAUUGAGUUGUGGAAUGUCUUUGUAAUGAUACUAGUAGCAUGUUACUACUGCUAAAGGCAAGUUAACAAUGGGAAACUGAAAUCGUCACCUAUGUCAUAAAAAAUAGAUUUUAUGCACUAAUAUGUUCAUUUGACAAUUCGAAAAUAAACUGACAACGCCAUGGCUAAUAAAGAAAAAGACAAAUAGACAAAUAAGAGUAUACAAGACAGAUCAUAGAAAACGAAAGACUGAGAAACACGAACCCUACUAAAAAUUGGGGGUGAUCUCAGGAAUCCUUAUCAAUGUAGAAAAAACAUACUCUAAUUUUUUGAAGUUUAAAGGCCAUCUAAUUUUUUGAAGUUGAUCGUAAACCACAUCGCACACUGCUGAAAUGAUAGUAGGAAAUCAGUAAAAUCCUAGACAGAUGAAUCAAAACUGGAUUUUUUUUUUAUUUGUAUGGCAUAUAUUGAGGCUGCUCAGGCGUGCAUUCAAAAGUUCAGUCAAAAUCUACGUUAUAUAAUGAACACAAUGGUUUCUUACGAUUUGAAUAAGUCCGAUGUUGUGGAUGCCAUAUUCGUAAUCAAUUGUACAGUCAAAAAUCAAUAUUUAGAACGUAUAGAUAUCAAACUUGGAAUUCACAGCUAAAAGUGGAAAUUCCAGAUUUACCCCUACAUCAUAGACGAAAGAGAAGAAUGUAGUAAAUCCCAAAUCCGCCCUUCUCUCCUUUCUAUUAAAAAGAACGUUGAAACUCUCCAGUUUUGACAACAUUCUAAAGAUCUACUUUAAAACCUUCAAUCACACUCACUUUAAUAUUGCAGUAACAUCAAAACUUAAUGAUGCUCUGUACUUUUGUGUUACCUUGGUUUGUAUCACACAAAUACCACAUUUAAAAAAAAACCACGAAAAACAAAUAUAGUAUUAUUUAGUUUGUUCUUCUUAUUACAUAAUCCUUUUACUUCAUAUAAUCUUAUAGUCAUAUAGUGACAAAGGACACAGUUUUAGAUGGUGUAUAUAUUCAUACCGUAUUUAAGCCCAAAAUGGAAUAAACUGCAGAUUGGACACGUUAAUGUCAUCAUUAAGAACCAACGCAUCCUCAAUUCAGAACCAAAACAACACUUCUUAGUAAAUGAUGAUACACAUCUUGCUUCUUUUUGUGCAAAGAGUGUUAUCCAACAUUGUUUUCUAUUUACCUUUGUUGUGUUUUUCUGAACGUAGAUGGCAUUAUCCAGUAUUGAUGCCCCUGUACCUAUAUUUUUUCACCACUUUUUUCCUUGUAUCUGUGUAUUUCUGAUAUAGUCAGCACAAAUUCAUUAUUGUUUCCUAUACGUGUGUUUUGUUGACUGAAUGCGUAAAAUACUUGUUUAAUCAGAAACCUGUCUGUCUAAAGUGACGAACAUCGUCGGGUCCAAAUAUAGCUUCACAAACUGUAUAUACCAUUGUUUUGAUUUUGAAGAUUUUAUGUUGACUUCAAAGAGUUCAGUUUGGGUUUUUUUUGUGUCGUUUGGGUACUGACUUUGUUACGUGCAAACAGCAUCUCCUUAUAUUUAAAAGUAAUAUCAAAACCAAAUAUUGUAGCAUGAAAUUCCAACAAAGUCUAAUUAAAAGGAUGCGGGGGAGUUUUAGAAAAUCACUGAUUAGAUUUUUAACAAUAAAUGGGCAGCCUUUAUAUAUAGGUUGAUUUAUUAACGAAAGGAAUGAUUUGAGGGAUAAUCGUACAAUUUGCCUGCGUUAUAAAUAAAAUUACAAUACAAAUCAUAAAUGAAUUAUUGUAGAAUAUAUCUGGAAGUUGGUUUUCCAUUUUGAAAUGAUAGAUAACAAUAUCGAAUGACUCUUUCUCUUUGUGAAAGAUCGUACGGUGACUUAUAAACGUUCACAUAUAUUUUAUUUGAUGUUAAAUGAUAUUUUCUCAUCGGCAAUCAUAUUUUUUGUCUUUAUGUUUAAAUAAUAAUAAAGUGAAAUAAUUUAAAUAUAAAAUUCCCGCAAGGGGAAAAAGCUUUUAUAAUGAAUCGUUAUAAUAAAGAAAAAUAUAGUAGCAGGUUACACUAGGUUAUGACCUUGAUUUCCUUGUUAUUUAUCAGAAGUAGAAAUUAAACAACGAUUGAAAUAUUAGACGUCACUGCAAACGCACACACAUCGAACUAUUUGAGACCUGUACAACCCAAACGGAGAAGUCAAUGAAAGGGAACAGAACAUUCAAUAUGAGAACUUAUAUAGAAAAACUUGUCAACGCAAAAUCAAAUUUCCUUUUAUAUAUGUAAGGUGUACAAGGGAAUCGAUGUCGUUUUAUUGGGUUUGUUUCAUUGCUGUCGGAUCUGCGCAUACUCAAUGUUAAAUUUUAUUUAAACUGAUGAUUUUUAUAGAGAUUGUGUCAUUUGUUUUGUAGACAAUUGUAUUUUUCGAAAACUUUACUUUUAUUACAUUUUACCUGUAGGAAUCUUUCAUCCGCAAUUGGAUAUAAAAGUUACUUGCAAAUCACACAAUCAAUGGCAGAAUAAGCAUGCAAAACUAUAUAAAAUUGAAAUCUUAGGAUUAUUAGUUGAAGUGACAUUUGUUACUAAAUGUUAAUUCCCAAACAUUGGUAUCACUGCUACUUGAGAGCACAUAACAUAAUUUCAAUUAUUUUAACAUUUGUCUUUCUCGUUUAAUUCUGGUUAAAUUGUAAUAGCAUCGGGCUAUCAAUUUUGUAUUGCUUUCAUAAUUAUCAAACGAAAGAAACCACAGAAUAAUAUUCUGGUAGACCGCGAAAUAAAAUAUUAAUUUUCCACCCUUUGAAGAGCAAAGGUGAGCAUAUAGGCGUUAAAUUAUUUUUCGCAUCAGUCAAAAAUCACUUCUUGUGGUUAGCUGAAAAAAAAGCUUUUCACUUAAGUGUUGAUGAAGAUAUCAAGUUAAGCGAACAAUGACACAUGUUUCAUACAAAUUGAAUAAUACAUAACUCAUAAUGAAUGCUAUUGCUGAAAACCUAAAUCAAUUGUGAUAUAUAUUUUUUACUAUUUCUUAAGAUACAAAUGUUUACAUCAUCUUAAACAGUUUAUGCUGACUUUGCUUGAACAGAAAAAAAAAAGAACAUGGGCAAAGAAAAUCAGAGUUGGUUCCAGAAGGGUGGAAGAAAUCAAUAGCAAAAACAAAAACAAAAAGUCACAAAACUUCUAUUUGAAAACUUAAUAUUGAAUAACUCUCAACAGCCAGUUUGAUUUAAUAUGAGUUAUAUCAUAACAAAUAAACUCAUCAUAGAUAUCAGGAUCAAAAUUUUAUAUUCACGCCAGACGCGCGUUUCGCCUAAAAAAGACUCAUCAGUGACGCUCGAAUAAAACAUUUUAAAAGGCCAAAUAGAGUACAAAGUUGAACAGCAUUUAGGACCAAAAAUUCCUAAAAGUUUUGCCAAAAUACAGCUCAGGUAAUCUAUUCCUGAGGUAGAAAAACCUUAGUUUUUCAAAAAUUCAAUGUUUUGUUAACAGUUAAUUUAUAAUUAUGAACAUAUCAAUGAUAACUCAAGUCAACACAGAAGUGAUGACUACUGGGCUGGUGAUACCCUCGGGGAAAUAAAUCUCCACCUGCAGUGGCAUCGACCCAGUGGUUGCAAAUAAACUCAUCAUAGAUACCAGGAUCAAAGUUUGAUAUUUACACCAGACGCGCGUUUCGUCUAAAUAAGACUCAUCAGUGACGCUCGAAUAAAAAAUGUUUAAAAGGCCAAAUAGAGUACACAGUUGAAGAGUAUUGAGGACCAAUAUUUCCUAAAAGUUUUGCCAAAAUACAGCUAAGGUAAUCUAUUCCUGAGGUAGGAAAGCCUUGGUUAAAUUUUGAUGAAAUCUCCUAAGGUACGAGGUUUAUGUUCAUAAUAAAUGUAGUUAACAAACCUUGGUUGCAAAAGAAAGGUAAAAAAUAUUAAUUUUCACGUGAAUUUCAUCUACAAAUAACUCCUACAGAACACUCGAAUUAAAACAGUUAGAAGGCCAAAUCACAUUCGAAGUUGAAAAGCAAUAAUAAACACCAAUCAUUUCGAGAUAUAGGGCCAAUUGCGGAUUACUAGUGUAAUAAAUGAUAAUUGUUUAACUGUUUAAGUUUUUACUUGUUUAAAUUAAGCAUUUUCGUUACUAAAGUGCGUCACUAUUUAUAAUUUCCUGUGGUGUUUGUCGUUGAUGGAAGAUAUUCGUUGUUGUUCUGCGGUUUGCAUGUUGUGUCGACUAUUAUAUUAUUUGUUUGUGCGAUUUUCUGUAAUGAAUGAUAUUGCAUGGGUUUGUACUGUACGUUCUGUCAAGUUGUGCUGUCAUUGAAGUGAUGUUUUUCAACAUUGUCAUAAAUAGGAGGUUUGGAGAGUCAUAAAACCAGGUUCACUUCAAAUGUCCUGUACCAAUUCAGGAAUUUCAGUUGUUAUCAAAUAGUUUGUUUUUAUGUUGGCGUUUGUUUUUGUAUCACUUCAGAGCUUCUGGUGUUCCUUUGUUUUUCCAGUUUUCCGGUUGAUGUGUUUCCCUCGGUUUUUAUUUGUAACCCGUAUUUGUUUUCAUCAACCGAUUUAUGACUUUUGAACACCGGUAUACUUCUGUUGCCUUUAUUCAGUUAUUAGAAUAAUUCAAUAUUUUACAAACAAUAAAUAUAGGUUUUACUAAAAAGCAAGAAGAUAGUAAAUUCAGAGCAUUUCCCUUUAAAAAAACUACAUUCCGUUCCAUAUAUCGAUUUAAACACGGCCAAUAUUGCUGACUAUGCGUUUUUUCAUUGUUGAAGACCGUGUAGUGAUCUGAAGCUGUUAAUGUCUAUGUUAUUUUGUUUCCGGUGAAGAGUUGUCUCAUUGGCAACAAUCUUCCUCUUAUUUUUGUAAGCCCCAUAUUUAAGGGAUUUUACUUAUCAAGAAAAAUUCGAUAUUAAACAUAAUUCAUGAUUAGAAAAAAAACCAUAAUAUUUUUAGGUAAAAAAUCAUAGGUAUCAAACAUUUCAUAACACCAAUUUUCAAACUUAAUGAUUCGUAAAACCCCAAAAAAUAUAAAUCCCAUAAUAGUAAAGCAUCAUAUAAUUUCUUUGAAGAAUAUGAUUUAUUAAUUGUAUGGUAAAAAACUUUUUAAAAUUAACGUCUUAAUUUAGUUAUGCACUUAAGUGUUGCAACUUCAUAGUAUACAAUUGUAUAUCGUAUCUUUUGAUAAAAAUCUAUGAUUCAUCUUUUUGUGUUAUUGCUACUUUUGUCACAUGAAUAUUUAUUUAGGUUCCAACUUCUAAGAAAGCAAAUACAUAUAUGUGUUUGGUGUUUUAUAAUUAUUUAAUUGUGAUUACGUGUGUGAUGUCUUCCCUCUUAUCUUUUUGUUUUGUACGUUAUUCAGAGGUUUAGAGCGAAUAAUCAGUUGAUACGGUUAACGUUAGAUUUAAAUGCGAACCAAACGAGCUUGAGACGUACAGUGAGUUAGAUGUUCAGGAACACUAUGUGUCAACUUCGAUCUCUUUUAUCCAGGGACAUAAAUUGUAGUGUCAGUUUACAAAAAGUACAACCGUAUUACCAAACCUUUGCAAUAAAACUUUUUAAAACGGAAAACAGUUCAUGAAUUGAUUAAAUCGUACAGUUUAUGAAUAAGUUUAUUCGUACAGAUAAUGAAUUGAUUGAUUCCAACAAUUUAUUAAAUGAUUAAUUCGUACAGUUUAUGAAUUAGUAUUUUCGUACAGUUAAUGAAUUGGUUUAUUCGUACAAUUCAUAAAUUGAUUAAUUCGAACAGUUCAUAAAUUGAUUAAUUCGAACAGUUCAUGAAUUGAUUAAAUCGUACAAGUUUAUGCCCAGUAGCCAGUACUUCGGUACUGACAUGAAAAUACGGAUUUUUUGUGUUAUUAAAAUUUGCUGUUACAAAAUGUUAGAAAUUAUUAUAAAUUAAGGAACGUAUCUCCCUCAUGCAAAGCUCUGAUUCCUUUCACGGAUUUGGCUAUACUUUUUGGACCUUUUGGAUUAUAGCUCUUCAUCUUUUAUAUAAGCUUUUGAUUUCAAAUAUUUUGGCCACGAGCAUCACUGAGGAGACAUGUAUUGUCGAAAUGCGCAUCUGGUGGCAGGAAAAUUAGUACCGUUAAUGUUAUUAUGAAUAAGUUUAUUCGUACAGUUAAUGAAUUGAUUUAUUCAUGAAUUAAUCAAUUGGUUCAGUUUAUGCAUUAAUUUAUUCGUACAGUUAAUAAAAUGGUUAGUUCCAACAGUUCAUGAAUUGAUUAAUUCGUACAGUUCAUGAAUAAGUUCAUUUAGUCAGUUAAUGAAUUGGUUAAUUUCAACAGUUCAUCAAUUGUAAUAUUCCUGCAGUUUUUUAAUGCCGAUAGUUCCAGCUGUUCCUUUCCUUAUAUAAAAUAACAUUAGUCUUCUUUUUCAUUAAGUAAAGAAAAAGUCAGAGGAAUUCUAUUCACAAUUUUUUGUGUAUUUUGUGGUCCUUCUACGUCGUUGAUAUUUUUCUGAACAAAAAUGCUAAAACUUCAAUGCAAAUAUAAAAAGGGGAAGUCCUUAAACACUGACAAAAUCAAACUGUAUCGAUCAACUGUAUCGAUAAACUGUAUCGAUCAACUGUAUCGAUCAACUAUAUCGAUCAACUAGUGAAGAACAACUGCCAUAUUCCUGACUUGAUACAGUCAUUUUCCGAAUAAAGUUGUGGGUAAAACCUGGCUUUAUAGCUCGCUAAAUCUGCCACUAGUAUGACAGUUAUUUACAGAUUCGUUAUACUUUAUAUAUAAAAGUAGGUAAGCAAAUCAUCCAGAUUUAAUAGAUUAAUGGAAAAAAAUGAAAAAAAGUUGCUGCUUCGAACGUAUUUUGCUGUAGGUAAAUUGAUUCGGGUCUAUUUGUGGCUAACUAUAUUGACAAUUAUCGCUGUCAGAAGAAAUUGCACUAGAAAGUGUACGUUGCACCCGAACUCAACAUAUCUGCAUGCUAACUUGAUAAUUAGCCAGCAUUAUAUAGGGAACCUGCAAACAUUCCUUGGUGUGCUUUAUUUGUAAUAUUCCUAUGGUCUAGACGACAGUUGUUACGAUGUAUAAGUUACAAGAACAAAAAUAACUGUUUGAGUCCAGACUUUAAUAAUCUAUUUGAAAAUGUGUCCUUAUCAUCACACCAGGCGGAUUGAAUCUAAAUUAAAAAAUUAAAAAGGCUUUAAGACGAAAAGAGGCAACUUGGUUCACAAGUUUAUAAAAGUCAGACUAUAAUCUGGUAAAAAAUUAGGAACAAAAAAUUAUCUAUAAAAUUACAAUCGGAAAAGCAUUUCACAAUAUAAGGAAAAGAGGCAUAAACAAAACAAAACCAAGUGAAAUUCAGAAGGAAAAGUCCAUAAAUAAAGGCAACAGUAGUAUACCACUGUUGAGAGUCAUAAAUCGAUGGAGAGAAAACAAAAUCCGGGUUACAAACUAAAACUGAGGUAAACACAUCAACUUAAAGAGGAAAACAACGAAACAGCAGAAGCACUGAAGUGCAACAAAAAGCCAAAACGACAAUGCACCACACAGAGAAACGAACUAUAAGAUAACAACUUUUCAUAAAACCAGAAAAACAACAAUACUCGACUACAUAAACUAACGCAUAACGCUACGAAACAAAGGGAAAGAACUGUCAUACUCCAAACUUGCUACGCAUUUUCCGAGAAAUGAUGGAAUGAUUUUUUUUAAAUAUCUGACUAAGAUACACACAGGAAUUGUUUUAAACUAUUAGCAUAUUUGAAGAGUGUUUUUUUUAAAUGCAACUUUCUACAAUUAUCGCUUUAAAUCAACUUUGCAUAAGAGAUAUCGCUUUUGUAUCUCGAAUGUCUAAAUUUGUGUUCUUGACUUAAAUUGAAGAAAACAAAAAAGAUGCAUCUACAUUUAUAUGCUUACGUAUACGUAUAUACAAUUCGAAAGGUAAGCUAUGUGUUAUGAUUUGCUUUAUCGAUCAUAUCUUUGACUCCUGUGAAAGGUUAUAAAGCAAACCCCAACGCUAACGGUAUUAUUAGGCAAAAUAUAUUCAAUAAGUAUCAUUGAACAUACAUUUUCUAACAUACAUCAUCUUCCAAAAGGUACCCCUAUGUUUUUUGGUUUUUUUUUUAACUCUAAAUUGAUUUAACAGUAAAACAAAUCCCUUACAUUACUGUUUAGUUCAUAGCUCAUUUGUAGGUGACCAGGCAUGAAUUACUCGAGAUACUAAGGUUUUUCAACAUCCUGGUUGCAUUGAGGUUUUUUUGGCCUUCCAACCGUUACAUUUGAAUGCCACUGAUGAGUAGGCUAGCAUACACGAAACGCGUCUUUACAAAGUGAUGCCAUUGCUGAUGGGCGUUUAAUUACUCAAAGACUUAAGUGUUUCUACUGUCCGGUCGUGUGGUCAUAACAUUUUGAAUUUUAUCGUACUCAGACUCGGAUGAUUGAUCUAAUUUUAGCAGCUAUUUUAUGUUCACAUACUCGAACACACACAUACAUGUUGCAAAGUUAAAAACACUCAAAAAAACAAUCUAGAGUAGCUUGAUUGUAAAAUAUGCAUCAGCAUGGAUAAUCUACAUGAAUUAAAUGAAACAAAUAUAAUAUCUUAUUCGAUCUUUUCGAUUUUUAAAAUAUUUUAUUAAGCAAUUUGUGAACAGAUAUCUGUUAUGUUAAACAGGAAAUGAAUUCAUUUGAAGUUUCAAAAAUAUAAGCUUUUGACUAAUGUUAUUGGAAAUGUUGAUAUUAUAAAAACAAAACACAGAAAGAAGUGCCCUACAAUUUUCUGACAUCUAUUGAGAUACAUGUCGACAUAAAAAUUGUUUAACUCUUAUUACAGGUAGCCAGCUAAAAGAAAACAUGAAAGCAAAAGAAGGGUAAGUACUAUCUGUUUCCAGUGGACUAACUUGAACUAUUUGAUAACAAUACAAUGCUAAUAUAUAGUGAAAUGGAACUGUUGUAGGUGAUAAACUCUAAAAUCUGUUGAAAAUCGUAUGCUUCUUUUUGGUGAUAAGCGGCUGUGAGUACGCAUUUUUCGACAUGUAUAUUUUUCUGUGGUAUAUACGAUAUUAAACCUGAGAAAUGAGAAAUUAAGACGACAGUAGUUUACUGAUGUUCAAUCUCGUAAAUCAGUUACGAAAAGACAAAUCAUGAAUACCAAAUAGGUCUCAAAUCAUGUCCACAACAUACGACAAAUAGUGUUUGCUGAUACAUAUAUAAUACUGUUAGCAUUGUCCGCUAACUUUCAAAACGAUUUACAAGCAAAUUUGCACGGACACUUCUUCAAAUGACUUUGUCAAGUCUUGAUUGAUUUCAAAUCUCAUUGACUUGCUGUAAUCUAUGUUUGGCAAGGUAGUAGUGCUAAACCGGAAUUCAUGGAUUUCAUAUAUUUAACCUGCCACAGAAUCUAGAAUGUCUGAAUUGCAUAGAGUUUUUUCUUCGGAAGUUAUGUUAUACAUAUCUUAUAAAACAAUUUGCAAUGGUUUCUUGGCAUUUUGACUGAGUAUGGCAUGUUAUGAACGAAAUACUUAUCGGUUCCAAUCACCUUAUCUCGUGUGUUAAGGAGUUUAUGCAAUUCUUAUGGUUCUUUUGUUUUUUUAUACCGAGAUUUGUAUUUUCAAUAAAGGCAACAGUAGUAUACCCUGUUCAAAACUCAUAAAUCUAUGGACAAAAAACAAAAUCGGGGUAACAAACUAAAACUGAGGGAACCGCAUUAAAUAUUAGAGGAGAACAACGACACAACAUUAAAAUGUAACACACAGCAACGGACUAAGCAUUAGACAACAUCCGAAAAUGGAUCAAUGAAAUUUGAGCAAUAUACUUUUGUCUCUUCGUUGGUUUACUGAUGUAGUUUUUCGAAAGUUCUUAAGUAUGUAUAUGGAAUCAGUGUUGAUUGUAAUUAUGAAAAUAGUUUUCAUGAUAGUAUAUUCUGAGAACUGAUUUCAACCGAUAAAUAGGAAUGCUUAAACCAAAGAAUGAGUAGUGAAGAUUUUAUAAUAUUUUUUUUAUUAGAUAGCGUAGGCAGGCUUCAAUUUUUCAGUAAGCUGCUUUUAAUAAAGGCAACACUAGUAUACCACUGUUCUAUAGUCAUAAUCCAAAGUUGCGUACUUUGAGGAGGGGUGGUUAUCAUUACACAUUUGGGUGUAAAAUGCGUGUUUACAAUUGGAUUUGUAAUGAUAUAAUGGCACAUAUAAAACAAAUAUAAAACACAAUUCUUCACUUUUAUCUGAAUAAGUAGUUUACAGUUAACUGUACAAUAUGUAUAUGUAUUACAAGGGCGGAUCCAGCCAUUUGAAGAAAGGGGUCCAAACCCAAAGUUAAGCGGGGAUCCAACUAUAUGCUCCCAUUCAAAUGCAUUGAUCGGCAAAAAAGGGGGUUCCAAUCCCCGGAACAACCCCCCCCCCCCCCCCCUGGAUCCGCUAAUGUAUUAAAACAAAAUAUGUAAACGUUCAUUUGUAACGCGUAUUCAAAAAUACAAAUGACUUCAGAUUUGUAUUUCAAAGUGAAAACAAACCUACUGAUCUAAACAAUUCACCUUAAUUUCGGAAAAUUUGAGCCUCAAAUAAAAUCAUACAUGGAAAAUAGACGACGUAUAUACAGAAUCAAUUUUAAAAAAGAAAAAUAUAACAAUCUUAGGAAAGUUCAAAUUGGAAAGUCCCUCAUCAGCUGUUUGCUAUAUAAUUUCCAGUAUCAAACUAUACUUCGUGGAUGUUAAAAAACGAUUUGUUGAGAAAAUGCUUAUGUUUCACAUUUUAUCAAGUUUAUCUUAUAAUCUUACAAUCUGAUAGGACUGAAUAUGACUUUAAUCAUGGAUAACAAAACAACAAAUCAUAAAAUUAAGAAUUACAAUGGAGAAUGUGUCAAAAGGACAAAAACCCGAUAUAGAACGAAUAUAACUUAAGCCACACAUACAUAAUGUUAAGCUAUGAGUAACCUAACUAAUGGGCUUUUCUUAUAUACAUUUUUGUUGAUAUUUUGUGUUAUUCAUUGGUAUAAACAAGGCGUCUUGUAUAGAGACAUCGCAUCAACAGAUAUUUACUGGUUUUCUUAGUGCCAUUUAGUUCCUAAAGGAAAAUUACAAACGCUAUCGUUAUUUAUUUAUUUGUAUGAGGUUUGGAUUAAUAAUUGCUAAGUAUACAUUUUUUGUACUUCCUUUUGAAAAAUAUUUCCGAUGGUCAGAAUGUCGCAUUGAUAAUGUACGAAUACUUUGCCCGUAUAAUAAUUAAUUCACAAAAAGUGUCAUCCAACGUGAUUAGAAGGGAGACAGGUUUUAUAAGUAAUUAGCAAAAAGCAAUCAGAGCGAAUUUUAGCAAGCAAUCGGAUUUCUGUAUAUUUGAAACACAAACAUUUUGAAUUAAAGGUGAGAGAGAUUUUCCAUGUUCCCCAUUAUUCAUCAUCAUAUCAAUACAGUAGGCGGUUAUGUAAAACAAUUAAUUCCUGCUGAGUCUGGCAGGUAUAGGACAUUUGUUAUAAUAAAAAUUACUACUAAUGAAGUCUUUGUUAAAUUAAAAUGCCCAUUUAUAGCAGUGGUUUCACUACCAAAAGUUUUCAUUAAAAACUUGAUAAAAGUCGCAUGACACCAGCAGAUUUUCUGAUGAUUAGUAAGGAACGUAAAAUUUCAGUUUACAGGGAAUAAAUGGUUCAAAUUAAUUAUCUGAGAAUAUCUUCAUUUUCUUUCACAAUGUCGUUUGUAUAUUAGUAUUCAGUCGCAUUGGAUUAAAGACAAAUCCUUCUAUUCAGAUCUACCAAUAAUAUCUUCUUCUUUUUUAUUUUAUUUUUACUUUAGGCUAGGUAAAAGCUUUAAAAUAAGCAAAUAAAAAAAUGGGGUCACCGACCUCGUUUUCGAUUUAAAACGCCAUCUUUUUCACGGAAUUUGGAAAUUGGGACUUCUAGUCAAUAGCAGUGUAAUAUUUUUUUUAAAGUCCGUAUCCUAUAAAAACUUGUCUGUUUUGUUAACCUAGUUGUUAAUACAAACUAUUUUAAUAAUAUCACCAUUUUCUGAGUGGAAAAUAAUAAUGAUAAGUUGCUAUAAUAGUUUUCCCGCCUUUUUUUAUUGUGAAAUACCUAUAAAAAAAAUUAAGUUUAAAAAAAUUGACUAAUAAUUUCUCCAUGAGUCUUCAGUAGAAUAUGCGUUGUUUAUAUCUAAACAAAAUAAGGAAAUAAAAAUAUGGGGUCACCGUAAUGGAAAAAGAGAUAUUUCUGAAAAGGGGUUAACAAUUUUGAAUUGGCGGGAACACAUUGCGCCAAUUCUAAAAACAACGUCGAAAGACGUUCGACCGGUUUUGGCUAUAUUCUUACAAAUUAGAGACAACCCACACAUGAUAGUACUUAGUUUUCAGUCAGUAUCAGACACGUAAUAUAAAUGCGGUGGUUGGAAAACAAUGCGUUGUACAUAUGUACACACGAAUGCUUCUAUGAACAUUUCAUUUCAGGUUAUUCAUAGUGCUUAUGUGUUGAACAGAAAUUCUUUUUAAAAUAGUGAAGACAUUUUUAUUUAAUAUCAUUGUUCAAUCAAAGUAUAUCUGAAAGACAAGACAGAAUUUUUCUUCGGUUAUCAUGAAUUUUAAUUUCGUUUAAAAAUGUUGUUCCUUUUUUAUUUUGAUGAUAAUUACUUAAAAUCAUUAGAAAUCUAAGACUCCGUUUCUACUAACAAUAAAGAUCGUUCAUUUCUGAGAUCGAUUUUAUUUCAAUUCCGUGCAAGUGUUAAUGGGGUCUAAUUAAUAUCAUUUCUGUUUUGAUUAUUCAUCCUUAGGCAUCUAUGAAUAUCGAAAUAUUCUGUAAUGUUGCUAGAAACUCAGUCUAAGUAUACUCAUACAGCUGUCAUACCGUGAGUAUGAAUAAAACCUAGUCCGACCUCUUUUCUCAAAUCUCCUUUUAAUUGAUUUUUUUUUCAUAUGCAUUCCUCUGUAAUUCUUCAUUCCGACAACUUUUUAACACAGACACGAUUACGUUUUUUUUUAUACAAAAAUUGCGCACCUUAUACAUAAAUAUCAAAUUUGGUAAAUCGGAACAAACUCGGAAUGGUAAUAUAAAAAACCUACAAUGUUAGAAGCUUAUAUUUUAACUUCUCUAGGUGUACUUUGUUUUACAUGUAUGCGUCGUUAGGUUACUGUUUUGUUGGUGUUUAUCAGAAAUCUAAUUAUCAUAUUCAUGUAAAACUGUAAGUGCCGUACACAUUGAAAAUACGUCAGUGCAAUUUACCAUAUCCAUAUAUAUAUAUAGGUACGUAUUGUAUCUUUUGCUAGAGAUAAAUUGAAUUUUGAGGACAUGACCAGAAUGAUUGAUGAUUUUGUACUUUCUUAAUGAUUUGUAAAAUAUCGAUAUAAUUAAGAACCUACGAAAGUCUAUACGUGUAGAAAAUUAAAGAAAAAAGUAUUAUAUUAUAAUUUGAUUGGCUCAUCUUGUUGUCGAGUAUCCAGAUUCUGUUUCGUUUCUUUACAGUCAUUUUUGUGUAUUUUUUGUUGUUAGAUUGCUAUAUAGUUGACUCUCUUUUCAUUCUCAUAUUUUAUCCAAUUCUAGAACAUGUCUAUGAUAUAAAAACAAUUUUCAUUUUUUUCUCGGCAAAUUAACCUAUCAAAACGAUUGUCACUCUCUCCAUCGGCUCAAAGAGGAAUAACUCUAAUAAACGUUUCCAGUUCGCGGAAACCGCGACGUCAUAAACCGCUGACGACAUAGUACUGUUGCGCUUGUAUAUGCGCAUAAACAAUAGAGGAUAUUGUCUUUAAAUAUGUCAUAUAACUUUUUUCUCGUACACCUAUUCAAUAAAUUCCUGCAUCAUGUCGUUUGUAUAUAACAAUUUGUCUGAACUUCUACUAGGCAUUAUCCUGCUUAUUCGGUUGUCAUUUUUUUGUUUCUUUGUCUAUCGUGUGUUUUUGUUUGUCAAUAAAAUUCCAAUGUAUCUAAAUUAAACUCUGAAAGGCUUAUUCCGUAUCUAAUUUAAACUCUGAAAGCCUUAUUCCGUAUCUAAUUCAAACUCUGAAAGCCUUAUUUCUAUCAAUGUCGAUAUAAGUUUAGUAACAAUAGAAUAGAUUGUUUUCCGUCAAAGUAUGUCAUGUUUUUAUUUAAACAAAUUCAAACGAUGACACUGUCCAAAAUCUUCAAAACAAAAAGAAAAAAAAAGAAAAUAAAAGCUUGGUUAAAAAACAAAUAGUAAAAAUGAGGAUUGAUGCAGUUUUACAAAAAAGGAAAAAAACAUAUAAGAUCGUAGUCUCGGCUCAUACUUUGCUUCCAAAUAAUGGUCUAAUGGCGUAUAAAUCUGGAAACUUAAAACAGAAACCCUUGAACUAAGGUCUACUCUAAAACAAAUCUUUCAAAGUGAGACUGCCCUGAUUCUUGAAAUUGUUUAUACAAUAGGAUAUCAUCUUUAUCAUGAUCAAAUAAUCCCCAAAUGUCAUUAAAAAGGUUUUUUUUUCUUGCGCGUGUGUUAGUGUGCUGAAUACGACGAUUUAAAGAAAAGUUUUAUGCUUAUGUAUAUAAUCCUUUGUCUUAAUUGUUAGAGAUAUCUUCAAAGCUACAUUCAGUUUCUUGGUUUAUGUUGAACUAAGAAAAUGUUAACAAAAGAAAAAUAUAGCAUCAUUAUAUUUACUAGUAAUAUAUAUAAAUAUAUAUAUAUAAAAGUACCUCUGAGUCAGUGAAAACUCUACAACAGAUUUAUCCAUCGGAUCACCAGCAAUGAUGGUGAUGCAUGGCUGUGUACAUUAUGUAUAUACAACUCGUCUAAACAUCAACCCAACAAUGUUAGAUCUGUAAAUUUGCUUUCGCAAAUUUUGUGGGUUCGAAUCCCGGCGAGGGAAGAACAAAAAAUUUGCGAAAGCAAAUUUACAGAUCUAACAUUGUUGGGUUGAUGCUCAGAUAUGAACAUCAUGAUACAAUUCUAACAAAGUACAGAGAUUUCUGACAGGGGACAAGUACAAUACAUGCGGCGUGAUUAAACAUAUUUUGCUAGAUCUCAAAUCAUUUUUUGUUUUUUUUUUUGCUCUUUGUGGGAUUCAGCAUGAUUGAAAAUAUUUUUUUACAUAUAUAUCUAUGGUUGUUAUGUUUCGUUUAAUUCUAUCUUCUUGCCUAACAGUUUGUAUAUAAUAUCUUAUUUAAAAGUCAGAUUAAUCUUAUGAUAUAUAAACUAUCUCUUUUUGACUUAUAUUAAGGUUAAAAGGGCUCAAAAACAACUGUUAACUUAUAUUUCCGAGAAAAAAAAUCCAGACUUUUUAAAACUCCUUAUGAAAAUAUACGUUUUUUGUAAUUCAUAUCUGGAAAAUUAUGUACUUCAGGUUGGAGGUACGAAAAUAAAAGUUAUGUUGUAGAACAUCUCAUUAGCAUUAGACUUAGGUCCGUGUUAGGAAAGUUAAUGUCGACAUUUAAACGAAAUAAUCAAAAUUAGUUUUGCCUGUCUUUAGACUAUUCUUAACUUAACACUUAAGUAUGAUAAAAAGUAAAAUCACAAAAAUACUGCACUCCGAGGAAAAUUCAAAAUGGAAAGUCCUUAAUGAAAUUGCAAAAUCAAAUGAUAAAAUACAUCAAAGGAAUGGACAUCAACUGUUAUAUUCCUGACUUGGUACAGGCAUUUUGAAAUGUAGAAAACGAUAGAUUGAACCUGGUUUUAUAGCACUAACCUCUCAGUCGCACUAAAUUCCAUUAUAUUUACAACAAUUAUUUAUUUUAUAAUUUUGAUAUUUGCAUCAUCAGACAGAUAUAUAAUAUAAGAUUCUUAUAAAAAGUGUCGUAAGACAUACACUACACCUAUAUUUGAAAUGAUGUGUACAGCAGGACCCUUCUCCUACUGCAAGUGUAAAAUUCUGCUUUCACAACAGGAAUAAAGAAUUUUUAAAUGAAGUUUAGCAUAUGAGGAGAGAUAACUCAUGAAUGAAAUGGGUCUCUUUUCAAAAAGUACUCUUUUCCUGUUGAAAUACUCAGGAAGUCUGGAAUCGAUUAUUUUAUAUCGGAUAAUAAGUUUGAUUUGUCAAGGACAUCCUCGCUCGUCAUGCAUUACAGAUUUUAUUUUCAAAUUAUCGAUAAUUUAUUUGCGAGAUUAAAAAUUAUAGAUCAAUUGUUAAAACAGAAUAAUUUAAAUGAAGUAUGUUCGAUUUUAGUGUUUUUAUUUGGACAAUUUGUUAAUUUUUCUGCGAUAAAAUAUGUUUAACAGCUUUUUAUUUUUUGACUAAUUCAUAUAAUCCAAAUUACAGUGUGACAUAUCUUGUUUAAUAAAUAGUUUAUUAAAUAAAUAUAUCAUUUAUUUGAUAUUCCUUAAGACAUCGAAAGACAAAUUUUCAUGCAUGUACAUUACAGUUUCAACUCAAGUUUUUGCCAAUCUAACAUCUACUGUUAAAAAUGACUUAACAUAUGAAAUUUUCCUUUUGCAUUUGAUUUCAUUUCUUUGGAUAAAAAAUAUAUGUUUUGUUUUUAUUUAUUUUCGAAUCAUAUGUAAAACAUAAUAAUGUAAAACAUAAUACGAUAUGUGUUUUUCUUAUAAUUAUUAUAUUUCCAUUACCCGAAUCUGAAAAAAAUAAAGUGUUUAUAUGAAAUUUCUGAUGAGGGAUAUAUAUUCUGUUUUCGAAUUUGUUUUUAUAAUUGUUACUUAAGUGGGUUUGUCGAAAUUUAAACUAUUAUUUAAAUUCAUAUCGUGAAUAAUAUGUGAUGAAUUUCAUUUCCAAUGGGGGAAAUUAUAAAUAGUUUUAACCCACUUAUAAAAUUUAGAAUCGAAACAAACAUAUUUACUUCGAAUGUCUGAGAAAAAUCAUUUAGCUUUAUUCUUUCUUUAUUUUUAUAUGAAAACUAAAAUGAGAAACGUAGUAACGAUUUCCUUAAAAAUUAUUUAAACAUUCGAUGAAACUUUAAUGUAACAAAUAAAUACACAUUUUUGUUGGCCUUUUUUAGUUUCAUGAUUAAAUUCAACAAUACACGCGAAUAUAUUAAUUAGUUCAAUUAAGAUCAAAUAUAUCCAUGUAAAGUCGAAAAAAAAACCAGUUUCAGCAUAUUAUUUGAUUGUAUGUACAUAUGCAGUAAAAAAGAAAUGAUAAAACUUUUCUUGUCUUAAGCGAAGUAACAAAAAUAUUUAUAACUAGAUUCUUAGAACAUUACACAAUUAUUUCAAUUAUAAUAAAAUGAAUGCAAUUUUUAUAACUAUUUGUUUCUUUUUAUUUCUUGUAUUUAUUGUUAGUAAAUUUACUUGAAAUGAAAGGUAACUCUUGGUUUUAAAUUCAAGUGAUAUACUGUACCUAAAUCAUCGUUAAAAUAAAUAUUUACUGCACUAAUUUAGAGACACCACAAACAUGCAAUACGUUUAAGAAUUCACUGGCAAUUCAAAAGUCUAUAUACAUAAUUUGUAUAUUUUAAACAUAUAUCGAAAGUUCUAAUCUUUUAUCUUAUUUUGAUUGUAUAAUGUUAUCAUUUGAACUCUAUCAAUAUUUAGAUUAUUGUUAUUUUGCCAGCUUUUUAAAUAUUAUGAAUUCAAUAGUGUAUCUCUUUAUUCGCUCUUAAUAAUUCAUUAUUUCUACAUUUUCUAAUAUUUGUACAAAAUUACUUACAAACUGCAAGGAUCCUCAUAUACUAUUUGAAUACAAGUAUUUCCUAUUAAAUCAGUGGAUAGUUUUGUUAUCACAUGAUCAUUUGUGGGCUCUUCGAGGGGGAUUUUAUUGGUUUUUCCGUGGUUUUUCCGUUGUGAAGAAUACAUUUUUUUUUGUAUUUAUAAUUGAUUCAGAGUAUAAACGAUAUUUAAUGUAAUAGAUAUAUAUAUAAUCAAUUUUAGUGGGUGUAAAUCAUAAACGAUUUCUUUCUUGUUAGAAAUAUUUACAUAUUUUGUAUGUUUAAUCCUCGGUUUAAUCUUUUCUGUCUGGAUAUUAUAAUACGACAGAUACACAGGGCAGACACAUACGAGCCUUACGUAUAUUAAUGCUGUCUCUUCCCUAAAUAUCCAAAAAUUGGGUCCAGUUGAGAUCAAUAAUUCUUUGAAAUUAAUAAUUCAUUGUUGGAACAAAGGUGGUGUGUUGACAUUUUCUUUAACAGAUUUAAGCAAUAUUUUUCAAACAGAAAAAAUAUAUAUAACCCUGCUGUAAAAGUCAGUUUGCUUUUAAGUAUAAGUUAUAAAUACAAUUCUUUCUGAACUAAUUUCUUUUUUAUUUAAUGUCAAGUUUAUGAAAGUUUUUCAUUUUUUCAUAUUAUGAACUGAAGAAUUCUGUAUUCUUAAUUCAAUUUGAGGGUUUAGUGUUUACUUUUUUUAAAUUGCAUUCAAGAUUACCCUAUUUAUCAUAUUUUUUACUACGAAAUAUUUUUUAAAAUACAUAUGAACAUACACAGACUUAGUUAUAGACUUAAUUAAAAUAUUCUUAAUUAUAUAUAUAUAUAUGCAAACGAAAUAAUCGAUCAAAUACAAUCGAUUAAAUACAAGUCUGUUAGUCCGUUACAAGUAUUUUUUCUGGUUGUAUUUAGAGAUGGUAUCACAUAAUUCUUACUAAGAAGAAGUAGUUCUAUGAAUAACUUGAUCUCUUAUAUUUGUUUUAUGUUAAAAAAAAAUAGUGGGUAAUUGGUAGAAUAUUUUUGAAUAUUGUCCAAAGUAGAUAUUUAAAGCAAUAUUGCAUACUUAAUUUUGCUACUGUUUUACAUGUAGUAAAUAUUACACUAAUUAACAACAAUUAGGGAAAUCAUUAAUUAACUAUUAUUAUUUUUUGGAUUAUUUCUGGGGCAAAGUCAGCUACUGUUUCUUAAUACAUGUUCUUUAAAAAUAAGUUACACCUUGCCAAUUUUCUAAAACGAAUAUAUCUUAUGAAUGGUCCUCCCUAUGAUGUUAGCAAGGUUACCACAAGACCAUAUAAUUCAAAUGAAUAAUUAUAUAAAGACAAAAUAUCUAUUAUAAUUAUUUAUAUUUUUUUAUUUAAUUAUAUUAAGGUGGUGUCGUAUUGUUUCAGUUCUAAAGCAUAAUACAUUAUAUUUGGAAUGACAAUUGGAAUAAUAGAUAGACUAUUAUUGAUAACAGUUAAUAUAAAUUAAAAAAAAACUGUAGAAAAAUUGUUAAAAGUUAUUAUACACUGCAGUUUAUAUAUGAAAGAAAAUAAGAUUUGAUCGUAGGUGCAUUCGAUUCACAUAUUCAUUGAAUUAUUUUUUCGUCUGGCUUAAGGUCAAAAAGCAUGUCGGGUUUUUUGGGGGGAUUUUUACAGAACGGCCUUAGUUCUGGAUUGGUUUUUUUAUUUACAAGUUUUAGGACUAAGACAGCUUUGUUGUCCCCUGUUGAAUAAGUUUCAGUUACUUUUUUGUAACCAGAGAGAAAUUUUCUCUUUAAAAGAUAAAUUAACUUAAACGGUGGCUAUGUUGGUUUUCAAAGUUUUGAAAUUAUAAACCCUCUAAUUGAAGCUCAGUUUUCUUUCAUAUCUACAUUUGAUAGCGAAAAGUAUGUUUGUCGAUGCCUUUUUGUUAAUGUGAAUAACUUAAAUUCCAAUUAAAUAAAAUUUGAAAUUUAGCAGAUUAUAACAGUGACAUAUUGUUAAUAUGAAAAAAUAUUCGGUGCAAUUAUUGCGAAACAUUAUUAUUCCACGAUGUAGAAAAAAGGGAAAGUAAAAGAAUCUAACACAUAGGCCUAAAUCGAAUUGUAUAAUUUGUUUAUUGUACUGACCUCACUCUUGGAAUCUUUCCUUAUACAAACUGGUGUAAGGGCAGUUAGAUUAAGAUUUAUUUUUAUGUUUUUACUUUUGCCACUCAUUUACGAAAUACACACGACUUUUCGAAGGAAAAAAAAAAUCCUUUCAACCCACGAAUAAUAACUGAAAAUUUAGUUGGGAAAGGGACAAUCUAAACUAUCUAAUGUUGACCUUAACAUAGUAGCAUAUAAAUCCUGAAAUUUCAUGCAUUUCUUUAAACUGCGUUUACUUGCCUUAUUUUGUUUUGUUUUUUGUUUAUUCCAAAAGUAAAACAUAUACUGCAUGAAAUAUUAUUAAAUUUAUACUAAAACGAGCCUGUAACUUAUAUGUGCAAGAAGAUAUAAAAACUUAUCAAAGACACUAGGCUUAUAAUUGUGUGCGCCAGACGUGUGUUUCCUUUACAAUAGACGCAUUAGUGACUCGAAAUAAUAAGUGAAAAUGCCAAAUAAAGAAUGAAAUUGAAGACUAUGAAGGGCUAAACAUUCCUCAAAAAAUUGCCAAAUACAGCUAAGGUAAUGUAUUCCUUUGUUGAAAAAUUCUUUGCAUUGCGAAUAACUCAAAGUUUUGAAAACAGUUAAUUUAUCUAUAUUAAAAUUUCAAUGACAUGAAAAGAGAAUUAUAUUUUAAAAAUUUUUGUAGGAAGAAAUCAAAGGGAUAAUAAAAAAGGAAAUUAUUAUGGAUAUUAUCAUUAAAUGCGGAAAACUUUAUUAUCAUUAAUUAUCUUUUAUUUCAUUACCAACCGAUAAUGAAACUUUAUUAACCAAUUUCAAAUUAAUCGCAACUUUAUUUCCUGGUAGUAAAAAUGAAAUCAAAACCUUAUAAAUUUCAUUCGUCUAAAGCGUUUUUCUUGGUUCAAGUCUCAACGCUGAAUAUUUGAAAUACAAAAAUAUAUAAGAACCGAUUUUUGUUUUUUUUUUAAUCACCAAAUACUUAACACGAGUGAACAAAUGUUAGCUUUGUCUUUUUUCUAGUUUUUAAUUUGUUUAUAUAUUUUCAUCUUUUUUAUAUUUCAUUUGUAAGCUUAAUUUCUUUCGUAUGGUUAAAAAACAGUCGUCUGUUUACAUAAAAUAACCUGAUAUGCAGUUUAAUAAUAUACACUACACUGUUUAGUCAAACUGCAUACGACAAAAGUUAUGACAAAUCGUAACUUGGGACACUUACGAAAACAUAUCUUACGACUAUGACAUGUCCUAAGGCCAUCAUAAGACAUGUCUUAGUCAUAAGAUACUUUCGAAAACCAGGCCCCAGAAUCACAAACUGAAUAACCGAAAUAAUGGUAUUUAAUUUAAAAUUGAUAGAAAUUCUUGUGACACAGAAAGUUAGAACUUAAAAAAAUUGUAUAUAUAGGUAGUUUUCAUUUCCACAAAAUAAAUAGAUUUAUAUCUCCUUAUCUGUAGUUAUACUUGGGUAUUGGAUUAUUACUUAUGAUAAUUUUUUUGUUUUACAUCGAUGAACCUUCAAAUAUAAAUAUUUGUAGUAAACCUGACGUGCCCCACAUAAUAUUUAUUUUUAAAUGUGUUCACAAUAUUAUAGCCCUAUGUGAUUUCUUAUAGCUGAUUAUUCGUAUAUAGACCUAUUUUGAAAUCUAAAGAUACAAGACUUUUAUUAAUAAAAGUAAAGAGGAAUCUCUAAUUCAUGAAAAAUUCUAAUUCUAUUGUCUAUAUGACGAAUUUCUUUUUCGUUGAAUGUUAUUACAUUUUGAACUUUUCUUUUGUUAAUUGAAAAAUGAUUCGGUGAAUACAUAGAUAUAAGAAGAUGAUUCGGUGAAUACAUAGAUAUAAGAAGAUGAUUCGGUGAAUACAUAGAUAUAAGAAGAUGAAGAAUUAGCACUUACAUAAGAAUUUUAGGAAAUAAAUAUUUCAUAUAAAUAUAUAUAUUUACAACAGGCGAAGUGUUAAACUGUCGAAAAAAGUCAGAAUUUUAUUUCUGUAUAUUAAUGAAUUGAAUAUGCCGGAAAAUGUUAUAAAUUCCUAUUGUAUAAAGUACACAUUUGUAAAAUUAUUAAUAUCUAUUAUUAGACAAUGCCUUAACAAUUCUGUUUAGUUUUAAAGUAUAAAGUUAAAAUAGAAAUAAGUAACUUAUGAAAUAUCUUAUAUUAGUAAUUUUAUAGUACUUGAUUUUGCUCCUACAUGAAAUUAUAAUAAUUUUGUAUUUCCCAGAACAGUGUUUCUCUAAAUUGAUAAGUUUGUCCGUCAUUUAACCAUUGUCUAAUGUAUAAUUCUAUUGCCCUUGUUCAAGUCUACCUCUAAGACAAUGAUUAAAAGUAAUUGAAGAUGAUAUUUACAACUUUGAAAUUUGCUUUUCUGAUAAUGAAUAAUUGUUAUUUACAGAUUUCAACGUUUCUCAAUAUUUUAAUUUAUUAUGAGUGCAGUAUGUUUUAUAAAUAAUAUUUCUUUAAUUCUUAUUUAUCGACUGUUUAUAUGAAUGUUCGAUUGAUCUAUAAUUCAUUAUGCAUUAACACCGGCUUGUAAUAAUGAACUCCCAUGUGAGGUCCCCUUUUUAUGCACCAGUGUUCAGGUCAUGAUUCAGUCUGGAAAAUUGAUCACGUGACGGCGCGACGUUUAUGUAACGAUCUUCAGAUGUUUAAUUAAUAAUUUGUUAAAUUAUCUGUCUGAAUUUUUAGCUUUGCUUACCUUCAUUUGUAGUUUAAUAAAUAAAACAUCCAUAAUCCAAACAAAAUGAAAGCGUGUUUAGAAUUGUGUGCUAAUACGAAGCAAGACUGAGUUUUUGUUUAAUUUCACCUUUUUCAAUAUAAUGAAUAUUUGAUUGGAUAUUUUUUAUAAUAUGCAGAUGAUUUUUUUCUUUGCUCUGAUAAUCAAAAUAAUUUAGCACAAACACUUAAAUAUUUUUUUUCCAAAUUAAUAAUCUAAAAAAAGUUUAUAAAAAACUGAUUGAGUUAUGCUGGUUUUUUUUUUCGCAAAACAAAAUUAGUCAUAGUCAAUAAGUUUGAAUAAGUAUUGCAAUAUUCCAAAAAUUAAUAAUGAAAAGUAGUUAAAAAGGUAAAAUUUCUAAGUAAAGGGCAUUUCAAAUAUUUUACAUGUUAAAAUAAUAAAAUUUCCUAUGUGCUUUACUUCUGUAAAAAAAACCUUUCAAAACUGUUCAAAAAUAGUUUUUACAGAACAUAAUGGAAUGGAGCUAUAUACAUGGGCACUCACACCCAAUCUUCCUAUAUCUAUAGAUAAUAUGUAUAUAUCCAUACAUAAAGGAUAAUAUGUGGAUAUAUCUCAGAUAUAUAUAUAGCAAAAUAUACAGUUAUUGUCAAAAUAAUUUUAGUCGCAUUUAUAUAGAUGAUGUGGUAUAGGUGCCAAUGAGACAACUUUCCAUCCAAGUCAUAAUUUGUAAAUGUAAAUCAUAUAUGCAUAUUUACAUUUAAAAACAUUACAAUUAGACUAUUGAUUUUUUUAAAUCUAAAUAUUAUAUAAUAUUCAUCAGUUCUGUCCUUCAAUGUAUCAAUAAGUGUAAAUGCAUUAGGAAAGACCACCAAAGAAGAAUAAAAGUCAUAAAGCUUAUAGCUUUGUAUGUUAUUGUCAUACAUGUUUUCUAAUAACAAUUACAUUUAGUACCAGGACUAUCUAAUAGUGUUGAAACAUGUUCAAAUAUGCAUAUGAUUCAUAUAAUUAUGAAUCAAUUUCUAUUGGCUUUCAACCUUUCAUAAUAAAUUACUAAUCAUGACUUUGAACUAUAGUCUAAAAUAUUUAAUGCAUUGGUUGUAUUAACACAACAAAUAUAUAAAAAUGAUAAAAAAUCCAAAUAUUCAGAAUAAUUUUUAAUUUACAUAUUUUGCUGCAGUAAGCGAAAUUUUGAUACGAUUUUGUGUGCGCAUAAAUCAAAGUAUUAUAUUAUAUUUUUGACAUCCUAACGAAGGCAGGAAAUAAUUUGAAUUACUUUAUAAAAAACCUCCUGUAUCUUUAAUUUGUUUUCAGUUUAACGGUGUAAGCUUUUUUAUGAUAAAAAAAGUUGUUUAUUUCCAAACGAAUGAUAAAUGUUAUUCAAUAUGCAGUCAGUGCAUAGCCGCCAUUUUGAAAAGCAUGAGGUUUAUCCGCCCUUUUAGGUCUGAGAAACAACAUGAAAAUUCAAGCAGGUAAAUACGUUUGCAUGUAUUCGAAUACAAGAAUAAUCAAGUAAAUGGUAUUUGAAAAAGAUAUUUAUUACUUUUAUGUCUACAAAUACGGAGAAAUUUGUUAUUAAAUGCACUUAAUGCAUACGUCACGUAAAAUAUAUAUCACAGGUGCAUUACGCUUGUUUUCAGCUUGUUUAAUAUUCCCUCCAAAAAUAUCAUUUAAUAGAUACAAUCACUUCUUUUCAUUCUACUAUUUUCAUCUUAAUUUCGGACAACUUUACGUAUUGUGUCGCAUAUAACUGAAAAACUUUUCUUAACAUAUGUCCAAAUAUGUAAGAAUAUUGUUCAGAUAUGAAAAAAUCGGGUAUUGGAUAUAUAAACUUUUGCACAUAUAUUAGUAAGUUUUUCACCCUUUUUAUUUGUACAAUUCUGAACAAUAUUGAACAGUACCACAUUUACAAUAUAAGGAUGUGGUAAUAUCUGUAUGUGCUUUGCAAUUGAAAUUCCAGAUGAAAGCUUUGGACGCAAUUAAUUUAUAAACUGUGGUUUUCAUAUUCCUUAUACGGAUGAUAGAAGGUCUUGUAAUUAAAUAUAUAAUACAUAUUGGUAUACUUAUACUAAGAAAAAAUGAUAUUUGAUUAAAAUUAUAAAAAGAGUGUGUCAAUUUGCUGUUAUUCGUUAAUAUUACUUUGCACAAAUUAUAAAUAGUGUAUUUUUAUGAAAUAUCCUUCACUAGAUUUUGUUCACUGACGUUUCAGAGAGCCAAACUAAACUAAAAAGGUCAAGUAAGGACUUAACAAAAUAUCAUUCAACAAUACACAAUUUUAAAUAGAUAUAAGAGUAUAAAUUUGUUAAUGCUAUUUUGAGAUUUAAAUGCACUUGUUCAUUCACACGAAUAUAUAAAUAUAUUUGCUAAAAAUUUUCAGCAUAAAAAUCUAUUUCUAACACUGUUUGGUGUAAUUUUCAGAGUUAUAUUGUGUGUAAAACUAUUAUUAGUACUCUACAAAAUGUCAUUUAUAAAUAAUAUCACUGUUUGGGUUUCAAUUCUGGAAAAAUUAAAACGCAAAAUUAUGAUCAAUUUAAAAAACAUUUUAGGUCCCAACCCAAUUAAUUAUUGAGACUUUAAUUAAAUAAUAUAAGUGAUGGUAGCAAGAAUGAUAUUAUCUCCCUUGAAAUGAACUUGCUAAUGAAUUAUCAUAAUUGUAUAUUGAUAAUGAACAUUUUAUCUUCAGAACCACUUUUAUUUGGUUUUGUAACAAAAACACAUACUGGUACCUGCAUGCGUCCAUGCUCAAUUCAACUCUACUUUAAUGUAUCAAAUUUUAACCAAAAAAAGUUUCGAACUUUAUAUGUCCCCCUUUAACCUUUGAUAUCCGUUCUCAUUAAAUUGUAAUAAGAUGACUAGAGGCCAGCUAAGCAAAUAUAUAUUUAUAUACAUAUCAAGAGGAAAAACCAAACACACAUAGUAUGGUAUGAGGAAACAGCAAAAGCUAUAGUAAGGAUUUCAAGAAUUUACUUCAACCCCCACCCAAUGAAUCAUUUAAAAGAAAACUCAGAAGAUAGAUGACAGAAGAUGAGACGAAACCGAUAUAAGAAAAAAAUUAGAUAACACCAAACCGAAGUAUGGUUUAAAUGGCACCAACAGUACCAAUUUUACUACAACUGUUCGAUAACUACCAUUGAAAUGGGCACAAGCAUUUUUGACAUUUUUCGUCCUUCUCCUCAUUAAAAGAAUAACUACUCGUUUGCCUAAAUGUCUAAAAAUGCAGCUUUGGGCAUGCUUUUGGGAUUUGUUAAUUGAUUAACGGUUUUACAACCAAAAUAUUGAAAUCUCUAAUGCAACAGAAUGGACUGUGAUCUAAUGAAUUUGGUAGACCUUUUAAAAUUAGACUUGGUGUGAGUUCAGUUGAAAUCGGCACUACUCAUUUAUUUUACAAUGACAGAACAGGCAGUAACGAAUUAUUUACGGACUAAAAGUAUUCCUCUAUUGAGUUGGGAUCAUUGACUUGCUGCAGUGCUCUCUUUCGACGUCUUUCACACGGAAAAUAUCUAAAUAGUAUGCAAAAAAAGAUGAAAAUCUUACUCGAAUAUCAGAUGAAAUAUGGAAUGCUGACCAGUUUAGUGUGUUUUUAAGAUGCAUUUGUCCAUAUGGCCGUAGCUUAGCGAGAAAGAAUGCAUGAGACACAAAAAUCUGACAUACUUUAUAACAGUUUGGCAUGGUUUUAUUAACUAAAAAUAAUGUUUUUUCAUGAUUGAAAGUCUUGUUAUAUUAAAGAAGUCUGAGCCGGAAAAUGAAAGAAAGUAGGGGAAAUAAAACACUUCCUAAUUGUACAAUGUGUCAAUUAUAUCAGUGAAGUGUUCCAGGAUACUAAUGUGCAAAAUGAGCAUGGGCUUCAAAUAGUAUUAAAAAACUCAAAGUUAACAAAACAAUUUAUCUUUCAGGCAUGCCUAUUUUAGUAACCAUCGUCAUGAUAAACAUAAACUGUUAUUUUGUUUUGAAGAAAAAUUUUCGUUUUCCAUACAGAAAAUCCUUAUAGCAGCAAAUAGGACUAUAUUUCCAUAAAAAUGAAGACCCUUAGAAUAGUUUAUGGAGUUGAAGGUUAUUGAUUCAUUGGUGUAUACCCGAUAAUUACAGAAAAGGGACAACAGAAUUGCCAAACUAAAUUCCAGGAUCCGCUGUAAGGAUGAUAUUCCGUUUAAUACAGAUACCACCUCAAUCUGAUAUAUUUCUGUCGACUUACAGUCAUGCUUCUUAUAAAAUUCAUGAGAUUUUCUAAGUUUUUUUUAUUUAUCUUCUUAAUCGAUUGAUGAAAUUCCUUACUGUUGUCAAUAUAUCCUAUUAAACUGACACAGUCAAUUCUAGCCCCUAGCACACCAGAUUCAGGUUAAAUCUAACCUGAUCAAAUGUUUAAGACAACACUGCCCGAGGAAAUGAAGACCAGAAUAACAAAAAUAAUAAUCUGGGAAUGCAUCAGCGAGAAUUUGACAUUCAUUUAGCUACUGUUCUAUAUCUAGCAAUAUGUACUCUUGAGGAAAGUGUUCUAAACGAAAUCGCGCUUGUUGUGCUUACUGAUAAACCUGGUAUCAUUGAUGGAGUUUUCCCCUUCAAAACGAUGAAAUACAGUAGUGUAGGGUUCUUUCUUUUUUGUUUUUAGAUAUCUUUUUUUAUCUUAACUGGAUAUUUUCAUUAUUUACAUGCUUGAUAACUAUUUAGUUGAGAUUCCAAUUACCGACAAUAAAACCAUGUAACUAAAUCUGCGAAACUUAGUAGUAAAUAGGGUGCUUAGGGUAUAAUAGAAAAGAAGGCAGGCAACGAAAUGCACUUGUCAUAUAAUAUAAGAUAGACAAAAAACAUCUUACUUGACUUUAACGGUAUUUGAUUCGCGAAUCAAAAUGAAAUUAUUAUGACCCAAAAUGAAGAAAAUGCUUAUACAUUAAAAAUAACGUCGUCUAUAUCACAUAGAUAAAACGUUAAGCCGAAAGUAGAUUGCUGAUGUUUGAAUCUCGUAACUCGAUUUUAAAACGACAAAUCAAGGUAACACACAUAAACUGGGGGAAAACUAGAACUCCAAAAAGGAGCAAAAAGUUGUGCGUCGAAAAGGUACGCACCUCUUACUAUACAUGCGCGAAGCCAAACUAGGUCAAUGAACUCCAAAAGGAGCUAGAACUGGUGCGUCGACAUGGUACGCAACUCCUACUAUGCAUGCACGAAUCCUAACUCAGUCAAAUUUCUUAAUCAAUUAAGAUUGCAAGGUACUCGAUAGUUAUCAAAGGUACCAGAAUUAUAAUUUAAUAUGCCAGACGCGCGUUUCGUCUUUAUAAGACUCAUAAGUGAAGAUCAGAUCUAAAUAGUUAUAAAGCGAAACAAGAACAAAGAAGAAGGGCAUUGGGGACCCAAAAUUCCAAAAAGUUGUACCAAAUACGGAUAAGGUAAUCUAUUCCUGGGAUAAGAAAAUUCCUUAGUUUUACGAAAAGUUAAAAGUUUUGUCAACAGGGAAUUUACUAUAAUGACAUAUCUUCAUAUUAAAAUGUGUUCUUUUAUAAGUGUUAUGCAUGUUCACUGAAGGAAUGUAUAGUUCAGAAAGUUUGCUAAAUAUAACGUUGUCCGAUGAAAACCCUGGUUUCAAGUAUAGAAAAAUUAAAAAAUGAAUAGCAAUUUAGUUAUGAAAAAGAUAUGGAAAAAGAUUGUAUGUUUGACAAUGUACUUAUUUCGAAAUUUGAAUAAAACUGUUUGCUGUCUAAAGAAAUAAUAUACCUGAAAAUGCCGUCAAAGUUUCUAUUAUGACAUAAAACGUUGAUUCCUCUUAAGAUUUGAAUGAAUUAACUGUGCUUUAAUAAUGUACCAUUAAACUAUAUUAAAACUAAUUCAAAUGAUGUAUGCACAGACCAUUUGUUUCAUUAAAAAGCAAUUCAUUGAUCUUUUGAUAAUGAUUUUUAAGUCGUGUAAUAUUUUUAUUUCUUUUUCACAGAUUUUAAUCACAAAAUUACCUAAUAUACCAAAAAAUAUAUAUCUUCUUAGCAUUACAAAUAAUCCUAAGAAUAUAUAUUUUUCUAAUUUUAAAAAUGUGAAAUAUUCGUAAACAUGUAUACAUAUUCAUUAAGGAUUAAUCAAAGAGUAUAGAACAUGAACUAGAACAAGAACAUAUUUUAUUACCAAUUAAGUAUUCAAAGGGGGGAUGAAAAGUUGUAUACCUUAUUUUAAACUGGGGAGAUAUAGUGCUUUGCCGUUUGUAUAGACAAUCGUUUUAGUUAAAGACUGUAUGCUAACAUUUUCUUCAUCAAGUCGUAUUACAGUUUCCCUGGUGUGUUAACGACAUCACACUGUAUACAUAUUGAAAACAAAUUAUUUGAAAUUGUUCUAUGUAUAUUUCAUAGAUACACUCCAUACUAUAUCAUUAGAUGAUCACAUUUUACUUAGUAGAUAUCAUAAAAAGGAACCUUCUAGGCAUAAGGUACCCUUAAUAUUUUAAUAUUCGAAGUUUACACUGAAUGUAGUAUCAAAAGUAUUAUAUUAGAAGAAAGCAAUAGGAGUCCCCUUCAAAUUAUAUUAGAAGACAAAAAAUAGGAACCCUCUUAGUAUCAAAUUAGAAGAGAAAGUUGUAGGCACCCUCUUAGUUUAGUAUUACACAAUCAAUUUUUGCCUUUUCCAUUUGAAGGUAGUCAAUCGACGUCAGAUGAAAAAUUAGUAAAACAGAUUAAAAGUAGAGGCACCAGUUAUUUACCAUUGUUCACAGAUGGUACAUAGAAUUAAAUUUAAAUAAAAAACAAAAAAAAAAAAAAAAAAAAAAAAAAAAAAAAAAAAACAAGAGAAUAGUCUGAUUUCUGUUGACAUGAAUAUCAAUAAUGUGGUCAUUUUUAUAAAUUUCCUGUUUACAAAACUUUGAAUUUUGUACUUGUUUGGCUUUAUAAAUAUUUUGAUAUGAGCGUCACUGAUGAGUCUUAUGUAGACGAAACGCGCGUCUGGCGUACUAAAUUAUAAUCCUGGUACCUUUGAUAACUAUUUACACCACUGGGUCGAUGCCACUGCUGGUGGACGUUUCGUCCCGAAGGGUAUCACCAGCCCAGUAGUCAACACUUCGCUGUUGACAUGAAUAUCAAUAAUGUGGUCAUUUUUAUAAAUUUCCUGUUUACAAAACUUUGAAUUUUUCGAAAAACUAAGGAUUUUCUUAUCCCAGGCAUAGAUUACCUUAGAUGUAUUUGGCACAACUUUUUUGGAAUUUUGGAUCCUCAAUGCUCUUCAACUUUGUACUUGUUUGGCUUUAUAAAUAUUUUGAUAUGAGCGUCACUGAUGAGUCUUAUGUAGACGAAACGCGCGUCUGGCGUACUAAAUUAUAAUCCUAGUACCUUUGAUAACUAUUCCAAACAGAAAAAUGUAAAAUCACACAAUUACUGAACUCCGAGGUAAAUUAAAAACGGAAAGUCCCUAAUCAAAAUCAAAAGCUCAAAAAAAAAAAAAGAAAGAGAUUGAUUCGGGUAUGUUAACUAAUGGCUCUUGCCAUUGUCACCCUACUAGGAAUGGUAAACAGUUAUUAUAAGGAAUAGGACGCAAUUGGUAAAUUCGCAGGUACUAAACAGCUAGAUGUCUUAAAAGAAUGCGAAAACUAACGGAUAUAAAUUGAAAAUAAAAUCAGAACAUUGGCAUAUAAGUUUUCGGUCAACAAAUAUUUUUUAAUCGAUUUCAUUUACGAAAAUUAGAAAAAACAUCAACAAAACAAACUGUGCUGUACUUGGUAUAUUUGAUUACUAUUUAAAACCGUUAGAGAUCCUUCACUAUUGGUAUUGGAACUUAUUUUAUAUUUAUUUCCACUUUUUUUUUGUGUAAUGAAUCCAGUGAAGCUGAAAAUAAAAGUUGUACUGGCGUCACCACUCUUUAAUUCUUUUAAAAUGAAAAUCCUAAAAAUUAUAAUUAAAUGAUAAAAAAAAAAAUAAAGGGACUUAAUUCAAAGAGUUAUCUUAUCUUAUAAAAAACUGUCUGAUGUAUGUCAAUCACCAAUUAUGAAUUUCUUUUUACGAAACAACCAUUCAAUUUGACUUGUUGAUUAAUACCCUUUAUAGAUAAACUAAUGAAAUAAGAACAAGAAUCAUAAUUUUGUUGUUAUACCAAAUCUAUUUUUUGUGAACUUUCUCAUGCUAUCAAGAUUUAAAUUUUCAGUGCUAGAUUAUGGAAAUAUGACAUUUUGUAUUGGUAAUUGAUAAUUUUUUAUAUCCACAAAAUGACCUUCAAACGCAGUUUAUUUAACAGAGAGCUGAAUGAGCGAUGGCUAAAUCCAUUAUUAACUUAGGAAGUUCAUGUGUAGAAAAAUUGAAUUAAAAAAUAUCAUAAACUUAAAAAAAUAAUCGGUUUUAUUGUAAUCAUUAUUAUCACGUCAUCAGGGCAUUCAGACUCGUAAAUUUGUUGUUGUUUAGUGCAAUGGGUUUGUUUAGUACAGUUAUAAUAUAUAAGGUGUAUGUUGGCUUUAAAUAAUGACCUUACUUAGUAGACAGUCUUGUAUAUAUUAAUACAGCUAUUCAUCUAAUCUUUGGAGAGAACUGGAACUUUUUAUUUUCCUCAACAUCUACAAUAAUACAUGGGGACUCAGUUGUUAUGAAUAAGACAAACUAUAUUUCAUGAUUCUUCCCUAAUAUUUGUUUUACUAUUGUUAAAAAGUUUUAAAAUUUAGUCUUAAAGAAAGGUAAAAUAUAAAUACAAGUACCUUUACAGCAAGCCUCUUGAUCAGUUGGUUAGUUUUAGUUGAAAACAUUAAAUGCAAGAGGGCCUAAACAGAAAUUUCAACACUGCCUAAAACGUUGAGAAAUCACUUCGGAUUUAUAUAUCUAUAAAGAUUAUUGUGUUAAAAUUUUCCCUCACAGGUUUUUAAUUCUCUGUUAUGAUAUGCAUUUACUAAUAUCAUCAAUAAAUCAAAAUAUGGAUGUCCAAAAGCAGGUGAAAAAGCAAACUAUUAAGUAUGCGUGGUGGGGAAAUAAAUCGCCUUCAAAAAUGCUUAGUAAAAUGUAAGAUGGAUGAACCUAAUAUAUUAUAACACCCAAAUCAAUCUGAGGUCAACUUAACCUGAGGGAGUUAGUUAACGAUUAUCAGCAAGGUAGAAGGUGUUUAACGGUCAAGCUGACAAAGAGAUGACUUUCAAAGCUGAUGCAGGGAUGACUUUCAAACCUGAUGAAUGAAUGACUUUUAGUGAAGGUUAUUUGUUGUUGCAGCUGCAUAAGCUUUUGGACUGCAGUAUUAUGACGAACUAAAAUCGACACUUCACGAAGUUGAUGGUCAUCAUCACGAAUUGGUUGACUAUACGGUGCAUAUGUGUCUCAAAUCACAACAGACAGAUUUUAGAUGACUUAGAUCUUUCGAUUAGUUGAAAAAUUGCUAAUUGAGUCCUACUUGUUAUUGUGACAUUUUGACUAAGUGUGGAUUUGCAUGGCAGGAAAUGACGGAAUACCUAGCCUGGCGAUGCACCCGCGGUCUCGUUUCCUUUGGAAUGCAUGCGAUUUGCAUAUUCUAGAUUCAAACAUCAGUAAAAUAUAAAUGCCACCUUUUUCUGGUGUCCAAGAAUUAGAUUAAAGUAUGGUAUCUUUUCAAAUUAGAAUUUCCUCAUUGUCAGAUUAUUUUGGUUUUAAGUCGGGUUACCCCUACUGUCUCCUAUUUCUAUCGUGCUAUUUUACUUAUUUGGACGUGUAGGUUUAUGUAAAAUUUCGAUGCAAACUAAGACUGUAUAUGCCAACAUGUGCAUACAAUAUGAUAUGUUAAGUAGUUAUCAAAGGUACCAGGAUUAUAAUUUAGUAUGCGAGGCGCGCGUUUCGUCUACAUAAGACUCAGCAGUGACGCUCAUAUCAAAAUAUUUUUAAAGCCAAACAAGUACAAAGUUGAAGAGCAUUGAGGUUCAAAAAUUCCCAAAAGUUGCUGUAGUUUGUAUUAUUUAAUACUGCAGGAAAAAUUUUAAAUAUGACAAUGGAGUUUUCAAUAUCAUGAUUAAAAAAUGUAGGACUACCACAGAAUUAAAAAGUUGAAAACGAGGAGGCACAAAAGCAUGAUUUCCACCACUAAAUGUAAAAAAAACCACCACAAUUAUAGAUUGGAAUUAUUUUAUAUUUGUACAACAUUACAUUGUACCCUAAACAUAUUUUUGACUUCUCUCUCUCAAAAAAAAAAAGAAAAAAAAAGACUGAAAAUUAUAAAGUUUACCCUGUAUAAGACUAAGAUGAGAAAAACAUAUUUUUUUUUAAUUUAUUAUAAUCGCAUCAUGGCAAAACUAAAGCAAAGAUAAAAAUAAAACUUAAAGCACUGAUCAAGACUGGUAGGUUUUCUGUCAUUCAACAGUAGGCGCUAGUAGUAUAUAAGAGUUUAAACUCUGUAAUCUAUACAUUUAAUUUAAAACUUAAGUGAAUCAACAAAUUAAAAGACGUAGAGAAAAAUAACUUCCGGUUCAUUUAGGUUGGGGUUACUUAAACAUGGCGUCUCCCGCUCCUGUUAUCCUUGUGUUUCGUGUUUUAUCAAUUUAAAGUAGUACACAAUUAAGCAGGUAAUAUCUUGUAUUGUUUAAAGGUCGGCUAGAUGUAAUUAAACUUCAUUUGAUUUCAACAGGUCUGAAAAAUCAUUAAAGUACAACAGCAACACCGUUUAUCUUAAUGUAUUGGUAUUUGCAAUCUGUGUGAGCUAUCUUAUAAUGUAUUAUUUCAAAACGCAAUAAAUAAGCCAAAAUUGAUGAAUUAACCCUAACAGAUUUGAAUAUCAAUUAUAUGAUAUACAGAUAUGUUCCAGAGUUUGCUAAAGACGAAAUUCAGAUCGAAAUAUGUGCCAUGAAAAAAUAUUUUCGUGUUUUAAUCCAUUGAGUUAAUCAAAUGGAAUGCAAUGAAGUUUAUGUAUUACCAUAAUGUAUUAUUAUACUUUUCACUGUAUCUAAUUAUACCUUCACAGAAAGGUAUCUACUAAAAGUUGAGAUAUUUGUCAUUUAAUUAAUCAUGUGACCUCGUAUCUACUAAUUAACGUUGCAUGCAUACAUUAGUAAUUUUUCUGUAGCAAUGGCCAGAUGGCUGACAAUUCCGACAUAGCUCACACAUUCUUGUACCGUAUCUAUAGCAAAGGAGAGGAUACAACUAUACUCUGAGCAAAGUUGUCUAUCUUUGAUACAAAAUAUUUAAAUGAGAGAUAUUUAAGAUAUACUUAAAUACCAAACAUAAAAAACUUAUUAUUUACCAUUUGACUAAAAUCAUAUGAUAUCAUAGUUCGAGCCAAAGCAGAGGGAAAAAGUACUUUGUAUUGUCCAAAUUGUUCUUUACUGACGAGCUUUUAAUGUUGAAGCUGUAAUGUUGUUAUAUAUAAUGAAUAUAUAUUUUGACAACAUAGUUGAUACUCUUACAGUUGUUGGCUUAUAUUUUUAAAGCUAUGUAUAAAACUUUUUUUUUAUAUUUUCCAGUAAAACAGGGAUAGUUGAAGCUGUAAUGUUGUUAUAUAUAAUGAAUAUAUAUUUUGACAACAUAGUUGAUACUCUUACAGUUGUUGACUUAUAUUUUUAAAGCUAUGUAUAAAACUUUUUUUUUAUAUUUUCCAGUAAAACAGGUAGUUAGAUCCCUCUAUAGUUCAGAUCCACCAUUUUCUACAUAAGAAAAUGCCUGUACCAAGUCAGGACUAUGACAGUUGUUAUCCAUUCGUUUGGUGUGUUUGAACUUUUGAUUUUGCCAUUUGAUUGGGGACUUUCCUUUUUGAAUUUUCCUUGGAGUUCAGUAUUUUUGUGAUUUUACUUUUUACCAAAGAUCUAUAAUUGAAGAAGAUGUUUUUAUGUCAAGUUUUUCACAGAGGUACCUCAAACUCGAUUUACCUUCUUAUUUCAACUGCAUGAUAAAUAGCCAGCAUAGUGCUGGCUACAUUAAAAAUUAAUCUGUUUUCCAAAAUAAAUAUUAUUUAGUAUGUCUACCGAAAAUGGCUGAAAACAAAAAUGGAAUUUUCCCGCUCUUUGCUCUUUUCGGCAUGAUGUGUUUACUUUAAGGUACCUCUGUGAAAAAAAACUUGACAUAAAAACAUCUUCUUCAAUAAUAGAUCUUUGGUAAAAAGUAAAAUUACAAAAAUACUGAACUCCAAGGAAAAUUCAAAAAGGAAAGUCCCCAUUCAAAUGGCAAAAUCAAAAGUUCAAACACAUCAAACGAAUGGAUAACAACUGUCAUAUUCCUGACUUGGUACAGGCAUUUUCUUAUGUAGAAAAUGGUGGAUUGAACCUGGUUUUAUAGCUAGCUAAACCUCUCACUUGUAUGACAGUCGCAUCAAAUUCUAUUAUAUUGUUACCGAUGCGUGAACAAAACAAACAGACACAAUAGGUAAAAAUGUCAAAAAUAGGGGUACAGCAGUAAACAUUAUGUUAUCAUCUUAAUCACUAUAAAAACAACAAAUGUAAACGAUGGAAGCCGUAUAGAAAUGACUUAAUAUGGGUUUGGCAGCUUUGAAAGCAAUGGUCGGUGUGAUUUUUGAAAAAAAAAGCUACAUAUGUUUAAGAAAACCGAAAGUUGGCAUAAAAAAUGCUUAAAGAAAACUGUACAACGAGAAGAGGAACUAAUACUAAAAUCCAUUAGUGCAAGGUGCAUUAAGAAAGGGUUGGUUAUUCAGUUUAGUCAAACUAUUCAAUAGGCAAUAGUCGAUACAAAUACUUAUUGGAGAUUUUAACCUUAAAUUUUGAAUUAAGUUUGUUAAAUCUUAAACGUUUAAUUUUUGGAGUUGAAAAAAGUGUGUUUUUUUUCAAUUCUGCUGAUAUUUAAACAAUAUCUUUACUAGCAAUUUCAUUUUGAUCGGGAACUGCUAACCAUCUUAUUGUACACCUUAUGACUGUGUUAGUGAUGAUAAGUCUUUAGUUUGAAGUUUAGUGUAUUGUGGCAUGUUAUUUGUCUUUUCUUUUUUCUGCCUUGGACCAUCGAAUUUGUCGUCUUUCUUCGAUGGAUGUGCCCUUUUAUAUCUUCCUAAUAUUUUUACAUUAUUCAUUACUUCAAUUGAGGCAUGAAAUGUAGAGAAAAAAAAUAAAUAUUUUUAUGAAUUUAACAUUUUAUCAGUAAUGUGGACUCGUGUAAUCAUUUUGUUUCAAGAUGUGACAAAUACAGGAGAUAGAACAGUGUCGAAAGUGCGUUCAGGUUUGAGCAAAUAUUUCUUUUGAUUCACUAUUAAAAUAGUUGAAUAAGAGAUGCAAUGUUCUACGUCUGAUGUUGCAUGGUAGAUACAUUGGGAAAUAAUUUACAAUAUAAAAAAAUCUACAAACUUCCAAAUCCCUUUUAGUAUAGACAUUAAAAGAAAGUCUUACCGAGAAAACAUAAAGAUAAUAAGAGUGUCUGUUAGACUGUUAUUAUGAAUGCAAAAGUGGUAGGAAUCUAACAUAAUCAUCCCGUUGAAGUCCCGUUGAAGAUGCCAGCACUUAUCAAUAAAUAUAUUGCAACUGUACAGCGUCGUAUACGUCAUCUAAAAAAAGCCUGACGUUACAGAAGGCACUAUGCCAUAAAUUCGAUUAGUCUCGCCAACAGUUUGAUCGAAAACUUGUUUUAAAAAUAUCACAAGUGUUAUCAAUCAAAUAUUGGAACAGCAAUACAGAAAAAUAGAAGUAAACGUCAAGAAGAGAAUGGAAGUGAAAAUGAAAAACAUUCGAAUAUUCGACAAAGGCAUAUAUUAGCAAGGAACACCGACAUUUUUUAAUCAGGUUUAAAGCAGACACAUCGGAUCGAAGCCUUUAAAAACAGAUGUAUAUAAUUAGACACGUUGUCAUAGACAUUUUGACACCAGAGAAAACAGUACAUAUAAACUUGCAAAUUCCCAAAAAAAAGAGAGUAUAUCAAAGUGCAAAAAAUACAGAAAUUGUUAAUUUCAUUCUGGAUUUAUCUUACGGAAUUUUCAGAAACAUACACCAAACACGUAUUAGUAGAUAGAGCUUUAAGACAAAAAUGUGUUCGAGUUCUUUGGGUCUUCAAAAAAGAGAUUUAUAUGGUGUUUUUUUCUUAUAAUUGGCACAGAAAAAAAGCAAAGAUUGCUUACAAUAAAGCAACCAAAAACUUUAAGUUAUUAGUUUUUAAAGAUGUAUAUAACUCAGACGGACUUUAGAUACUUUUUAUAAGUCGCACUCCGCCUUUUUUCACAGGCACUGUGUAGUUCGAAUAUAUAAACUCUGCAUUGCAAAAAAACAACAAUGUUGGAUUCUUUAUAUGAUGCCUUACAAAGAUAAAAAAUACAAAUAGAUAUUUUACUCAAACAGACAAAUUGUUGUGGCUUUAAGUCGAUCAGUUUUCAGUGUUUCAAAUUCUAAAUGCCGAGUGCAUGCUUUGUGGAGAAGCAGUAAACACAUAUUUUAACUUAAGCUUGACCCAACAUAUAUAGGAUCUACCCAUAUACUUUCUGUUUAAACUAUUGAAACACACUACUACGGGAUCAUUGCAGGGUGGUUGACAGACUUUGAGGUUAUGUACACACUUGCGGUUUCUGUAAAACGUGUACAGAUACAAAACUUUUAAAGAGUAUCUUAUAUGAGAUAACGAAAAGAGUCGUUAUAUUACGCGGUUUUUAGGUUAAGUGUAAGUACUUGGUAGAUUCUAACUGUUUGUAUGAAGAGUGAUUUACUUAACGAAGAUUAUACAAAGAAAACAAUAGGGGUUGAGAACAAUAUUUGUAAAGGAUUAGUCUGCGGGGAGACAAUGUAAAGAUACCUUGGCGUAUAAUCAGUAUAUUUAGUCUGCAGGGAGAAGGGACAGUGUAAAGAUACCUUGGCGUAUAAUCAGUAUCUUUAGUCUGCAGGGAGAAGGGAGAAGGGACAAUGUAAAGAUACCUUGGCGUAUAAUCAGUAUAUUUAGGUUCUCUAAGGGUAGUGAAAGGAAGUGAACAUAUCUUCUGUAAAAAUUUACAAAUUAACUUGCUGAUUUGAAUAGACCUAGACCAGUAUAAUGAAGACCAUCUUUCUCACAUGAUAGGUCGAAGUUGAAUCAAUGGAGUUUUCGGUUGAUAAAGCAACAACAGAACAAAAACCAAAAGUUUUAAAACGGUUAUAUAUGGGGUGGAAAGUUUGGUAUUCAUUUUGUACUCAUUUGUAUUUUUGGACAACAAUUUCUACAUUCUUUUAACAUUCUUUAUUCUUUACGCCCAAUUACUUAUUUCAAUAAUUUAGCACCCAAUUAUUCUUUAAUCUAUAUGCCGCCUUUGUUCUCAUUUUUUUUUUUUUUUUUUUUAAUUUUUCUAAAUUAAUAUCUACUAUAUAAACGCCAUUAUACACUCUUAUGUGUGGUGAACAAGAGCAGUGUGCAGAGUCAUGAACAAUGAUUAACAGGGAAAAAUUAUGAACGCUUUUUGUGUAGCUUUAUUUGAAAAAAAAUGUUCUUUUAUUUCUAUCAAUAAAAUAUAGAUUUUUUGCAAAAAUGUUUACUUUUGUCAAAGAUAACUGUCCAUGACCGAAACGGCAAGAAUAACAAUUCACUGUGAUAUAUUUUGUGUAGAAAUAUAUUACAUGUACAUCUAUAAUUUAUAUAUUUCAUGUUAUAAAAAUUCAUCAAUCUAAUGAAAAAGUUAAUUUUAAUGGACAUUAACCGUGUUAACAUCAUGAUGAAAAAAAUCACAAAUUGACAAAAUAAAAUCGGCAGUCGAGCUAUAUUUGUUUUGAUAUAUUGUCGCAUGAUAUUACUAUAGACGAUUUCAAGUUGUUAAAAAUAAUUUAAAGGGGAAAACGUUUGAUAUGCAUGCCAAAUAUACAUGCAAAGGAGGAUCGAGUACUCUCAAAGGAUGAUCUUAACCUUGCAGCAAGCUGCAUGGUAUUAAACCUGUCAACGGUCAGAAAUCUGCCUGUCAUAUAAAAAAUAGGGAUAUAGUAUGCUUAUGGUAUAAUGCUUGCCAUUGAGACAACUAUUGGUAACCGCAAGGAUUUCAACGAUGAGCAGACAAUAAACUCAUACCUUUCUGUCCUUUAAGAGUUUGUAUUCAUGCGGCAUAUUUUUGAUAUUCUAUUUUUAAUUUAUAAUUGAUGUAUGUAUAUAUAUAUGAUUUGACAGGGGCACUAAGAGCUUGACGUGUUAUUUAGACACUUGUCUUAUUGUUGAUAUCAUUAGAGAUCGUAUAGACAACUAUUUGUGUCGAUUGUUUUUGCUAUUGUGAACCAUUUACAGCUUUAUUUCUUCAUAUAUGCAUUGAAUACAAUUAAAUGCAAGUAAAAAAAACCAAUAAACUCUUGUGUGUAACGCUUUCAAACGACAUAAAUUAAUGAAAACAAGAAUAAGAUAAAGGUGUAUAGUAUAUAUACACAAAGAUUUAGACAAAUUAAUUAGAACCUAAAAUAGUCAAAGUAAAGUGUGUCAAAGGUGAACAGGAUAUCUUAUGUACGUCCUACAUAAAAUCUAAAUUCAUACAUGUUUUUAAUUUAUGGAUAACAAAGUUAGGAUUGUAAAAUCAACAAAUAGAUUAGUAGAAAAAAACUCUACAUAUGUUGCAAAACUAAUUCUGUGAUUCGAAAGUGCAACACCUCAAUCAUAAAUGUGUGCAUGGUGCAUUAUAUGAAUGCGCAUUCAUAUAAUGCACAAACAAGUCUUUUAGGUUUCCUUUAUUUAAGUUUUUAAAUAUUUUGGGGGUCAAAACGAAAGUUAAACAAAGUCGAAGGAUUAUAUAUAAAGCUUCGUAAAUAUGCUUUUACAUUUGUUAACUCUUAUAUCUACAGCAGCUAAGCAGAUACAAGGACACUGAUAAACAUACACGUUGCUGUAAUAUAUGAACAUAUGUAACUGUACCACAGUAGACAUAUGGUGCUACCAAAGGAACAUGAGGUUUAAAAUUAUUGACAUAUGAUGAUAGUUCAGGUCUACUAUGAUCGCAUUGAUUCUAUAUUCCAAAACUUUGUAUACAUAAAUCGAAAAUGCAGCGUUGUGAUCCCAAUUUUUACAAAAAAAAAAAAAUGAAUUUAAAUCAUUACUAAAUUGAUAAAUAAUCACAAUAAAUAGAUAAAAAUAAUAUUAAUUAUUUGGAAAUGAAAAUAAUAAUUAAAAUGGGAAUGAUAAUAACAACAAACCGUAAAAUAAUAAUGUACAACUUUUAUUAUGAUAUAUAUUUGUUAAAAAUAAGGACAGUUGAACAACAAGCGGUCCAGAGCAAGGACUUUGUCUUAUUAUUUUUUUUUACACGAAGUAUAAUUUAUUUUUUAAAGGCAUUUCCUGUUUCCUUUGCUUGCUUCAAAGUGUUCUUCAUCAUAUCAAAACAAUUAAACAUUGGAAGCAGUGUAUAUGUCAUGUCUUUCUACUAUAAAAUGACAGCACAUAUAACGUGAACUACUUUCAAUAAUUAUUAAAGAAAUUGAAAACUUAUUGAAAAUAUAUAAUAAAGGGGGAGAGGACAUGUCCAAAGCGCCUGUUAGUUAAACUUAAAUUUUUGUAUCGCAUAUUCAUCAGUGCAACUAAAUAGAAAACAAGUUUGAGUUUGCAGAUUGAUCAAGUCUGAUAUUUAUUAGGCAGACAUGUUUAUGGGAAAUAUUGGGUUUUCCAGACUAUGUCAAUGGCUGACAGAUAGAGAUCGCGCAUAAUGUGUCUGUCUUUUCCGUGGUGGUUUGCAUUAAUAUAGUUCGACAAUAUAUCAGAACAAUUAUUGCUCGACUGCAGAUUUAAUUUAGUUAUAAUCGGAAAAAGGCUUUGAGUAUUCUUCGCCAUGAUUUUAAUAUAUUUUGUUCGGCAAUCUUUAUAGAGAUGCAUGAAUGUAAAAAGAUCUUAAAAAAGUGCUAUGUUGUAUUAGUCUUGUUCAUGAAAGUCGUUAUAAGAAGUCCGCCAAAAAUCAUGUCUUCCGCCUUGCAACAAUAAAUAAUAUAUUUCCGAUUUAUUUAAAUGUAGUGACGUAAAAAUAAUAAUUGACUGUUUUAAAAAUUUUGUAUUAUAUAUUGAUCUAUAUUCAUCUCAUAUUUGAUAAUUGCAAAAUUAACUUAUUCGAGUUAGUGGAUUUUUUGCGUUCUUAGCGUAAUAUUUUGUUAGGGUUCAUAAAGAUGUCUUCCUAAGCAAUAAGCAAUGUAUUGAUUUUUAAACCAAUGAAAAUAAUGGUAAAUUUCCCCCUGGCUGAUUUCAUUGGAAGUUAACCAAUGAAUUAGACGUUUAUAUUGAUAACGCCCGCCUACAAGUGUAUUCCAAACGAUACAGUUAGGAGAAUUUGAAACCUGUCUGGAAUUCAAAGUUAAGGUCAUUUAAAGUAACCAUCUUUCUAUAGUAUAAUACGGAACUUUAGGAACUCGAUUAUGUGUCAAAGCCAUUCUGUAGUAUGAAAUUUGUACAUUUGGCGUGAAAAUGGAUAUACUUUGCAAUUUUGAAAGACAUCACUAACUGAUCAAUCAGCAAAUCCUUCAGAUGAUGGCGGGAGAUAUUGGCGGUCGAUUUGUAAGGAUGCGGGGGCAUGUGAGGUCAGAUCGCUCUGUCCGUGGCCUGAAAUGACCGCUUAACGGAUCAAUAAUGUCAUACUCUGGUGGUCAAGCUUAACAGGUGAGACUAUUAUUUAAUCAACUGUAUUGUAAAGAAAUGAUUUAUGUAGAAAGAUAAAAAGAUCACCAUCUGUACGCGUCUGUUACAUUGAGCCUGGUAUUCUGUACGAUCCUUCAGUUAAAAACCCACUUUGCAUAAAAAAAUAUUAGAUCCAGGUAGAAAUAUCCUGAUUGUAAUAUUGUUGAAUUCAUUUUGUUAAAGUUAAAUUCCAAAAGUGGUGACAUCACUUUGCUUGCAACACAUCUGUAACACACGAGUUUUAAGAAAGUGCGAAAGAAAAUAAUCCACAUUAAAUGUUCAAAGAAACAGUUCCCUUGCAAUUUUUUUUGAUAUAUAUCAUCUAAUCCCUUAAAUUUUUCUAGAAAUAUCACAUUUCCGAAGUGUAAAACCACUUACAUUCAUAUUGUGUGUACAUUCAACUUAAUAAUGUCCGAUUGUUACAAAUGAAAAUCGUUUUCUGUUUACAAAACGUCAAAUGAUACCAACUGCACAAUGAUUACGUAACGCAACCUGCACACUUUUAUAAACUUUAUUGCGCAAUAUUCCUGCGGAAAGUGCAGCUUGUUGUAGUAGUGUGUUCAUGAUAUGAGGUCAUUUAACUCGGUGAACCGACCUGCCGACGUAAUAUGCAAUCCACUGCGCAUAACAAAUGCAUUGCAUAUUGAUACUGCAUGUAGAUUCACCAAAAGGUUUUUAUUUGUGAAGCGUUUUUGUCUGGUCACAAAAACUGGGAAUUUUGGACAUAUAAUCCCACAUUUGAUUAUAUGUUUUAGCCUAAACAUAAAUGGAAUUGAUUUUCUUUUCUACUUUUGGAAACACGUUUUUGUCAAGUCAGUGAUCAGUGAAGUGUAACACAAAAUCAAGGUGUAUUUUUUUUAAUUAAUAAGUAGAUAAGUUGGGACAAGGUUAAGUGUUUGAAUGAAAUCAAUAAAUCAGUGAAUACAGACAAAGUCAUGAGUGUGUAUGUCUAGAUUUAAACAGGUAGAACAUUUGCAUUCAGAUGAAUUCAAAAAUAGUUGUGUCAGUAUGGGGCUCUAUAGGGGACAAAUAGGAUGCUGUAUUUAUGCAUACUUGAUCAAUGACCACAUACCAUCUUGAAAAAGUAUUUGUUUAUUUAGAACUAGAAAGAAUUUUCCAGAAUCUUUCUUUUCAUGAAAAAAUACCUAUUUUUUAUCAAAAAAUAAAUAAAACAUUCUAUAACAAUUCAUUACAUUGAAUGUUAUUUUAAAAGGGGGCAAUUAUUUUCACAUGUUUUAAUAUAUAUGGUAUACUUUCAAAAUAAGUUUACAUGAUUUGAUAUUCAUUAUAUAUAUAUAUAUAUAUAUAUAUAUAUAUAUACAUUCAAUGAAGGAUUUCUAGAAGAUUCUGAAACAUAUAAUUUUCACAACCAACAGAAAAUGUUCAGUGUUCAGUGUUUUGUUUUUACUUAAUUAAAGGUAUUAUUAAAAGGUAUUAAUUUUGAAUCAGUAAUAGCUUGUUCAAUUUUUUCAACCAGCAGUGCUGAUAGUUUUGUUUAAUGACAUGAAUAUUGAACUGAAAAGACUCCAUAUAGUGAAUGUCAUACUUCUGGAACUUUGUUAUUACCUGAAGUGUUUAUAUUAUUAAAGAUCAUUCUUUUGUUUAUAUGGAGUAUGAUUUGAGAGUUUUCUGUGUGUGUGUGUGUGUGUGGAAAAAAGGGGGGUAUUCUGGCUCCUAUGAAUAUGUUUCUGGUGAUAGAUUUAUAGGAAUUUCUGUACAGGUGAUUUUCAGUAAACUACCUCUGAUUAAUGCUACACCUAUAUACACAUUUUAAAUUGAUAAGAACAAUUAACCUGGUUCUUGCUUUCCUAUACCUGCCUGUAAUUUCCAUGCCUUUCCCAAAACAUUUUAUUGACAAUUUCAGUCAAACAGUGAACAUUCCAGACAUUUUUGGUUAAGCAGCUCCUUUCCUUGUAUACUUGUGUAAAAUAUUAAAAAAAAAUAAAAAAAUGUUUACCUACCUAUUCUAUUUUUUUCCAUCAAGAAGACUGGAAAAAGGUAUAUAUAUAUAUAUAUAUAUAUAUAUAUAUAUAUAUAUAUAAUAUGGUAUAUAUAUAUAUAUAUAUAUACAACUUAUGUGUUAUGUAUGAUAUGUUGAACCUUAUAGGGUUUAUAGGAAAGUGAACCGAAGUUUAAAUAUUGAAUUCUUAAUACCAAAAUUGAAACACAUUGAAUUAUUAAUACACAUUGACCUAUCAAUAACAUUAGCAAUUUGACUUUUUGCUAUCAAAUCUAAACAAGCAUUGACAGGUGACUGCUAUGGACAUGUUUAUGUCUAUUUUUCAGGCCUAGGGACAUGUUUAAUUUAUAUCUUUUUUGUUUUUCUUUGGGAAUGUUUAGUUUGUCUUGCUUGAUUCUCCUUGGGACAUGUUUUGUUUAUGUCUUGCUUGUUUUUCUUUGGGACAUGUUUAGUUUGUCUUGCUUGUUUGUCUGUGGGACAUGUUCAGUUUAUGUAUCUUGUUUGUCCCUAGGAAAUGUUUAGUUCAUGUCUUUUUUGUGAUGUUUAGUUUAUGUCUUGUUUGUUUGUCCUUGAGACAUGUUCUUAUGUCUUGUUGGUUUAUCUUUGGGACAUGUUUAGUUUAUGUCUUGUUUGUUUGUCUUUGGGACAUGUUUUAUUUUUAUUUUGUUUCUUUGUCUUUUGGACAUGUUGAGUUUAUGGAUUGUUUGUUUGUCUUUGAGACAUGUUUAGUUUAUAUCUGUUUGUUUGUCAUUGGGACAUAUUUAUAUAAUAUAAACAAUAAACAUGUUCCAAGGACAAACAAACAGACACAAACAUGUCCUAAGGACAUACAAAUAAACAUAAACAUGUCCCAGAGACAAACAAACAGACAUAAACAUGUCCUAAGGACAUACACAUAAACAUAAACAUGUUCCAAGGACAAACACAUAGACACAAACAUGUCCUAGGCUAAGGACAUACAAAUAAACAAACAUGUCCUAGAAACAAACAAAUAGACACAAACAUGUCCUAAGGACAUACACAUAAACAUAAACAUGUCCCAGAGACAAACAAACAGACACAAACAUGUCCUAAGGACAUACAAAUAAACAAACAUGUCCUAGAGACAAACAAAUAGACACAAACAUGUUCCAAGGACAAACACAUAGACACAAACAUGUCCUAAGGACAUACAAAUAAACAUAAACAUGUCCCAGAGACAAACAAACAGACACAAACAUGUCCUAAGGACGUACACAUAAACAUAAACAUGUCCCAGAGACAAACAAACAGACACAAACAUGUCCUAAGGACAUACAAAUAAACAUAAACAUGUCCCAGAGACGUCCCAGAGACAUGUAAAAAUCGAUUUUAAAUAUACAAAACUUGUAGAAUUUUAACCCCCCACCCCCAAACAAUUUGAUUUAAGUUUUUUAUCCUACUUCGAUCUUUUGAUGUCUUCCCUAAGCAGGGGUUGAAACUUGACAACUUUAGAGUUGACACUCUGCUAGUGAUAACUGAAGAUAAACCUUGUUCAAAGCCCCUCCCCCCUUUGACAUGUUUAAAAUAUUGCAUAGCUGUUCAAAACAAGCAGCUAACAUCGCGUGUAGAUAGAAGAGAUAAUAACAGGUUAUGAUUAUGAUUCUGAUGCACAAGGAAAUUGGAUUUUUUUUCUUGAUUAGCUGGCCUCUUUAUGAUCCAUCUUUAAACUGGUUAAGAGUUAAAAAGAGAAAAGGAUCAAUGAGUAGCAUGUUGAAAACUAUUAUAGAAAAGAUUUAAAUGUUGAUUUAAGUCUUUUAUAGCUUAUCCUUAUACGUUAUACUCCUUUUUGAAGGCCAUAUAGUAAUAAAUUAGCUUACAUUAUUUUGUAAAUGUACAUGUAGAUAAAUCAAAAAGCAGUUUUUUGUAUACUGUAGAUUUAUUAUUAUUUUUUGGCAUCACCAGUCAUUGGUCUUGUGAUAGGGUGUUGUGGAAGAGAAAGUUGAUACAUAUGUACAUAGGUCAGUCUUACAAUUUGUAUUAAGUUCUACUUCUCUAAGCACACAACAUUUAGGCAUAGCAAAAACAUGUGACUUUUUACUUGGAAACAACCCUAAUAAUUAAAAGCAUGGCUUAGUCUGGCAGUCUGGUAGGCUUGAAUCUUAGUAUAAUGAUAUCACUUGUCUGAAUGUCCUCAUCUUCAUGCACUGGUAAUAUUUGACACUGGACAUAAAGCAAUCAAUCUCCCUCUCUAUAUCUAUGUUGACUAUAAAUACACCUAAUGUAAGUUAAGUUUGGGUUGAUAAGGCCAUUGAAAUAAAUGUAAUAAUAAAAAAAUAUAUCUCUUCAUUAUUUAAGGCCAAUUAAAAUUAAUUGAUAGAUUUUCAUCCCCGCCUGCCCCUCUGAAUCGCCCUGCCCCGAUUUUUUUUAUUUUAAAAAAAAUAUGAUUUCCGGAUUUUGUUCAAGUCCGUUACCGGGAACCAUUGAUAAGUUUGUUUCAUUCAAAACUUCCUGUUUCAAAUUUCGUAUUUUUAUUUCUUCGAGUAAUCUAACGAAAAUGAUUAAGUCAACAUAUUCUGCUGCACUAUGAUGACAGCAUCAUCUACCGAGAAUAGAGAUUGAUUACAAGAAGGGCAAGAAAUAUUCGAGUUACAAUAAAAUGUUUUGUCCAUGAAAGCAAAUUGCGGUAGUCACAAGUGAUUCAAAAAACAUGUUUUUCUUUUAUUUAUACAAUGACUUUGUGUUAGGAAAUUUGGACUGUGAAUGAUAUCCAAAGUGCAAGAAUUGUAGAACAAAUUGGUUAAAAAAACAUGACUGGAUUAAAGAAAUUGACACAAGCACGAACUUGUUAGAUUUAUGACCAUAUAUUGAGCAAAAAAAAAAGUCGACAAACACGCAUUUUAAUAACAAGCCUUUAGAUUUACCCAUGGCUGUCGUUUUUUGUUGACAAACAGCAAACACCUUCUGUGACUGUCCCAAUACCCUCAAUUUAGUCAUUAAACAACAACUUCUAUUUGAUUAAGUUCAUGUUUUACAUCAUAAUUACUUUCAACACUGAGUUAACAUUUUAUUCUGUACUCAUAAUACUUGUGUUGCAUACCAUUGUACCAAUACAUUUUAUGGGGACUACAAACCAUUGCUUAGAAAGCAAAAUAAAUUUGUCCAACUGAAGAGAGCAUUUCUCUUCUUUUUGAUGUAUACCAUGAAUAGGUUUCUAAAGUGGCAAUUACAUGUAUAACAGUGGUUGCCAAUCAGAGAUUUUUAUUUAAGAGUUUGAAAAAUUAUGUAUGAUUCCUUAUACGGCAUGUAUUUACAUAAUAUAAGCUUGUUUUUCACCUGCUUAUACCCCGCGGUAUGAAGAACUUGUGACGAUGGUUUCAUAUGAAAUAAAAUUUAAAAAAUAAAAUCCUCCCACCCUCCCCAUUUUUUUUCAAAAAUGUGGAUGAAAAUCUACUUAUUAUUUUUAGUUGGCCUAAGUAUAGACAUUAUUUAUUUGCAUAAACACAAAUUGUAUGAUACACAAGUCAAACAGACUUAAUCAGUCUUGUCCAUACAAUUAUAUAAGUGUCAAUGGAAUUCCCAAGCUUCCAUAUCUAUUUUUGUUGGCUUGAAAUUGCUUACUUUAAAGUUUUUAAUGACACUUUGGUAAUGAAUAAUAACAAAAUUGCAGGUCUCAACAUUUACUAAGGGUAAAAAAUUAAGGAAAAAAGAAAUCUUGCCUAUCUACAAUAGUUUUCAUAGUCAGAAACGCAAAACCCACUUAUAUUUUUUUUUGCCUGUGUGAACAUUUUGUUAUUGACUAGUCAAUUUUUAAACUUAUUCACACACUUAAGGUUUUCCUAAAAUCCAUUCAUCUACCUGAAUACACUAGUUCUAUGACUAUACAAACAAGUUUUUAAAACCCUUAACUGCAGUGUUUUAUACUAAACUACAGGACAUACAUUCAGUGUUUAAUUCUGCAAAUUCAAUUGCCAGAGAUUAAAAAAAAUAAUUUUAGGGCCACUUUGACCCAAAAUCUUGCAUGUACAUGUAUAUUUUCCUUCCAUGUUGAUCUUCAUUUUUGUCAAACCCAAUCAAGACAACUUGAUAAAUGUGCUGUCUGUUUUGUUCGCCAUUGUAUGAUAUGUUUAUCUAAUAUAUUUGAAGUCUGACACCAGAUCAAUCUAAGAACUGCAGUUGUUCAAAAUUAGAUUUAUUGUAGAGUUUUGUCUAGAAGUCUAUUUCUGCUAGUACCACAGCAUGUCCUUUAAAUAUUGUCCAUUACAGCAGCAAACCUGACCAGACUCCUGAAGUCAAACUUACACCACAAAAAUUCAUAGAAAUCUAUAAAAAAAAUAAAAUAAAUAUUUGGAAAAUAGUUCCAAGACAGCAGCCCUUCAACUUUAAAACAGUAACAAAUUAAAAGAGGUAUGGUCAGAUCAUCUGUUUUCCUAUGUCAUAUGAAUUUGUACUAUGCAUGCUUUUCGAUGCAUUCUUAAUAGUACCAAAACCCAUGAGACAAGGAUAGAUGUUAAGUAUUUAUCUAAGGACAGGUACUUACAGUACAUUGUUUUCAGUGGUAGACAAACUGUGAGUGGGAGAUACACACCGAUGGCUCUUUUGGGAUCCAAUACAUGCAAAAGAAUCAUUUCAACAUGGACAAGAUUAUAUUACCAUGUAUAAAUGGUUGCAGUGCACAUAUAUAGGUUACUGCCUUUAAUUGUAUGUAUAUAUAGAAUUGUAACUUUUAGAAUGGGGUUGAUUGAUUACAUGUAGCUUAGUUUAUAUUUAGAAUUGUCUUUAUUUUCAAUAAACUCUCUCAUUUUGUAGCUUUAUUUUUCCUCAUGUUGAAGAUUUAUUUCUCAGCUGUUGUCACUCUUAUUGACAUUUUUUUUUAAAGAAAGAUUUCAAUAAGGUAUAUAACAUUAAAACAAUCCAUCAAUGUACUGACUGGGUAACAAUGACAUCUUCUUAUUACUCUUUAGAUACAUGUGUACUCCCAACAUUUUAUCUAGGAUUCAGUCUAUUUUAAAGACAGUUCAAAAUACAAGAUUGCUUUUUAGAGAAAUAUGUUCAUCCCUGGACUUCUGUCCAGCUAUAAAGUUGUCUCCCUUUUGACUGUGCCAGCUUCAUAGAUACUCAGCCAUGUCAGAAUGGUGUGUGUGUGUGUGGGGGGGGGGGGGCAAGGAGGCAGGUGCUUAACAACCUAAUGUCAUGUGAAGGGAGAGUGCCACCCUCUUUGUAUUUUUAAUACCCAUUACAACUUCUCUCCAAGGGUCCUUUAAUACAUAUAGGUGGCUUGUUGCAAUGCAAAAUUUUAGUUUUCAAAUGCAGUUCCUGUUCAAACUUUCAAUGCAAUCUUUUAGGAAUUGGGAACUCAUAUGUCAAGGAUUAAUACAAAAUCUUCUAACUUUAGUGUGAUGCAUUUAUAAACUAUUAGGAAUUAAUCAAGUAAUUAUCAAAGUCAUUCAAUACAAUAAUAUUCAGUGACAGUGUCAGUCAGUAAUAGUAGAUGUACUUGUAGAUCUAUAUAGUAACUAUGCAUACUGUAUUGUUUAUUAUAUUUGUAAAAGAAUAAUAUUACAAUGGUAUUAUAUUAUGCUCCUUGUGAGCCCAUUUUAUGGAAAUAAAGCAUCUUCUUCUUCAUCUUCUUCUUAUAGUAACAGUUGGACCAUGUACAACUCUUUAAUAUUGAAGUCAUUCACUCGACAGUAUAACUGAUAAUAUUACUAGCAAAUUAUUAAAAUUAAAGCUAGCACAUUGAACCAGUUCUUGUACUUUUGAUUCCUACACACUUUUUUGGUUUCUAGUUAAGAUAUUUUACAUCAAGACAAUCACUUGAAAGACAAUAUGAAGUAUUAACAUUUGAUGUCAGCUUUUUGAAACAAAUGGAAAAAAAAUGAGACUGUAUUUAGUGCCUAUAGCAGUUUGAAGACCUGAAAUCUCAUUAGAACAUGUCUAUAGAGUAGCAAGCUAUAAUUGUGACUGUCAUUACCAGACAUCUGCAGGUGAUGCAGUCUUAUAGACAAGUACCAAUUAAACUUCUUACAAUCCAUCACUAUUCAUAGCUUUGUCACAUUUUCUGCACUACUGAACUAAGCAGUAAUUGGACAGAUCUUGCAUCAAAGGAUUACAUUGUUCAUUAUUUGAUCGUUGUGAAAGUUACUUGAGUGUUUAUGCAAACAUUGGCAAAGAUGAUCAUAUGCUUUUUUGAUGUCCUAUGCCAUUAGUCUGAUUAAAGAUUAUCUGUACCUUUUCAACCAUACAAUAGGAUAUUCAUUGUCCUGUGAAUUAAUUUCUUUGUAUUAUGUAAAUUUACAGUGUUAUAGGGAACAAAGAAUUUUCAUAUUGAAUUUCUAAUCAAAAAGUAGAAAUUCGGAAAGUAAUGUAUAAAUAAAGAAACUUAACCCCUGUGAGGAGACCCAAGGGUAUAGAAAUUGGCUUAUGGUGCAUGUUACUGUUAUGAAUAGUAGGAGAGUUCCAGUCUGAACACAAAAAGACCCCUUAAGCCACAGGGCUGAUUGGAGUUUAUACCUACAGGCUUUCUAGAUAUCAUAUCUUAAAAAUACUUGAAAGGUUGGAUAGAUAGGUGAGUGUUGUGUUUUUCUUGCUGUUAGAUGCUGAUGCAGUCGUUUAUAAAGGAUGCUACAAUUAUGGAAUGAAGAGAUAGAUCUUUUGUCUUUGCCAAUGUCAAAAAGAUGUUACAGUGAUGGGAUGCAGAGAUCUUGUGUAUACCAUUAUGUUGAAAAUAAUGUUGUAAAGACUGGAGCAGAUACAGGUCUUGUGGUUACCCUGAUGCCAAAAGGCUGUUGCAGGUGAAUCUUUUGGUCUUAGACUACCCUGAUGUAAAAAAUAAUGUUGCAAAGAUUGUGAGGAGAGAUUGAUCUUGUGACUACCCUGAUGUCAACAGAAUAUUGAAAAGAUUGGAAGGAGAAAUUGGUUUUGUGGCUACCCUAAUGUUAAAAGAUAUUGCAAAAGUUGAAAGGAUAGAUUAAUCUUGUUGCUACCCUGAUGCCAAACAGAUUUUGCUAAGAUUUGAAGGAGAAAAGGAUUUUGGGUACCCUGAUGUCAAAAGGAUGCUGCAAAGAUUUAUAAUAAAGGAUAAAUGGAUCUUGUGGCCACCCUGAUGUUAAAAGGAUGUUGACAAGAUUUGAUUUAGAGAGAUGGACCUUGUGGCUUCCCUGAUGCAAAAUGAAUGUUGCAAAGCCAAAGGUCGAAAAGAGGAAUGGAUAUUUUGGACACAUGCUGACAUUAAAAAGGCUCUUACAAAGAUUGGAAGGAGAAAAAGGUAAUCAUAAAGCUAUUCUGAUGUUGCAAAGAUAAGAAGGAGAGUCGGAUGAUUUGUCUACCCUAAUGUUGAAAAGAUGUUGAAAAUAUUGUAGGGAGCGAUGGAUCUUGAGGCUACUCUUGUCAGUUGACAAAAGUAAAGGCAACAGUAGUAUACCAGUGUUCAAAAGGAUGAAUGUUUGGAAGGCACAAUGGAUCUUGUGGCUUCUCUUAUAUCAAAGAGAUGUUGCAAAGUUUAGAAGGAGCAAUUGAUAUUUGGCUACCCUGAUGUCAAAAGGUUGUUGCAAAGAUUUGAAAUGUAGAUAGAUAAUUUGUCUACUCUGUUGCCAAAAGGAUGUUGCCAUGCUUGGAAGGAGAGUCAGAUGCUGUGUCUACCCUGAUGUCAAAAGUAUGUUGAAUAGAUUUGAAAAAGAGAUGAAUCUUGUGGCUAUCCUGAUCAUAAUUUCACAGUAGUUUUUAAAAGAGGGCAUUGUUGAUGUAGAGUUAUAUUGAUCACAUGAGAGAGAGAGAGAGAGAGAGAGAGAGAGAGAGAGAGAGAGAAAGUAGUUGAUCUAGGUCUUAUAUUGAUAACUUAUCUCUUGUAUAUUAUGAUUCAGUAGUGGAUAGACAUCAAUGGCUUAUGAGAAUGCUUUGAUUAGUUAGGGGAAUAUAAUAAUCUGUAACAAUUUAUGACAUGCCUGAAGAGCUAUUAUGUUGAUGAUUAUUUUUAUGUAAAAAAAUCUGUUAUAAAAUCAGUUAUGACUGUAGUAUUGCAUAUUCAGAGUGUAAAAGUUAAAGCUAUUGUGUAAGAUAAUAUUUUUCUCAAUUCAUGUCAUAAUUUAAGAAAACACAUAAAAAUAUAUUAAAGACACUAUAUGCAAUGAUUGACAAUUUUGGGUAUGCUUUUCAAAGUGAAGGUCAUCUGGACCUUGGGGUGAAUAUUUUUUUAGCCAGGGCAAUCAUAUGAAUUUCUUGUCUUCUUUUUAUAAAGUUGAUAAAUACACUACAGAAAACUGACAUCUGUAUAGAGAAUAGGUUCACCAGCCUACUUGGAUUGUGGUUUUCUUCUUCUAAAUGAAAAAUGUAAACAAAAGAAAACACAAAUCAGCAAUGAAAAUAAAUGAUUUUAACAGGUUGAUGUUUUCUCUUUGUUUAGUACCUCACCACAUAAUUACAUAAAACAGAGAUAACACAUAUAAUUUGAUGGAGUUAACCUACUGCGUUAUAACUUUGGAUCGCAAACCACAGUGAUAGACUAAACACAUUUAUCUCAAGUGCACACUACAUAGACACAAGUCUAGCCAUACACAUUUUCCAUUCAUUGUUUCGGAAAUGUAUGUAUUAAGGGUAAACAUUUUAUAAAUGUACUUGUACUGUACAUGUUCAUCAGAAUUCUGCGUGAUCAGUAGAUAUCCAAUUAAAAAACUCUUUUGUAGAUUUUUUCAUUUAAUUUUUUUUUCAUACUCCUAAAUAAAUGCCUAAAGUUCAUGUUAUGAUGAUCCUUUUGUGUGCUGCCUAGCCUCAUUUUUAUGUUGACAUACAAUGGAAUAUCCCUCAAUACUUCUGAUUAUGAAAUGGUGAAUCAAUACAACACUAGGACCCCUCCUUCAGAUGCAGAUAUAGCAUUUUGAAAAGGGGGCUCACAAACAAGGCACCGCUUGGAGGGGGACUGUAACCUUGUAUGUAUCUCCAUAAAGUGAGGCCUGGUUUAACCUGUAGAAUCCAUAGGCGGAUCCAGGGGGGCCUGGGGGCCUGGGCCCCCCCUUUUGUGGGAAAAAUUUGGUUGAUUAUAUAGGGAAUCACUGAUGCAUGACUGGAGUGGGCCCCCCUUAGGAAAAGUUCUGGAUCUGCCACUGGAAUCCUACCCAUACCUAAGCAUCAUGCAUGUUCAGUUGAUUUGUUCACCUUUUAACUUCAGUCAUAGUGUAAAAGUCAGCAUGACUCUUUAGUCCUUAAUGUCAUAAAAAAGUCGCUAGAGAAAAUGAAUGUUUAUGUUGGAAAAAUGACAAACAAUUCCUGGACAGAAAUUAAUGCUUCAAUAGGGCAUUCAAAGUAACAAUAAAUAAAUAUAAGAUAUUGUACAGUAAUUCAGUGGACAGCAUUUUAUGUCUAGAUAAUGCUCACUGUUGUGUGGCAAAACAUGACAUGUCUUUAGGUUUAAAUUCAAUUAUCAAAUAAUUUACAAAAGUAAUAUCAAAAAUGUCCAGAACAAAAUAGAGGAAACUUGGUCCCUCUUUUUUUCUAUGUGGCAACCAAAGUCCCAAAUAUCAGCAACAGUUGCAAUAGUAUACAGUACAUGUACAUGAAAUAUAGCUUUCAUUGAGGAACAUUUUAAAAAUGUGUUGUGACCACUGCAAGAAGGGAAAUCAAGUUUUAAACUAGUAAUCAUGAAUUUUGCAAAGGACUGGGUGUCAAUAUCUCAUCAUUGGUAUCUUUAGAUCAAACCUAUAAAACUUAAAAACACCUGGAGUCUUAUUAUAAAGACAGAUGUUAUUAAAAAGAUAAUUGCAUAAAAUUAUGUAUAAAAUCAAUGAUAAACCUUCUUCGCAUGUACUUCAGCCUGGCAAAUGUACUUCAGAAGCAAACCACAAAAAUGUAUGGGUACCAGAGGUAUAGUAAUGUGUUCAACAGAUUAUCUUUUGUGGUUAAAAAGAUUAAAAAGGAAAAAUAUACUGUUAUUUACCAUUAUACAUUUAUCAAAGACAGUUUUAUUGAAAUAUCAUUAUUUUUGUCAAAGUGGUUAAGAAUUUUGCCAUUAAAACAUAUGUGUUGGUUUGUAUGAUGUCUGUGUUAAGAGAAUCUAAGGUCAUUUACCUGUGUGAGGACACAAAGGUCACUGACAUGUGUUUAAUGGUUUCUAAGGUCAAAGUGACAAACAGAUGGACAUUGGAUAUGAUUAAUGUGGUCAGUCAAGGACAUCUUAACCAUUAUGACCAGCUGUGUUUAGUCUGGUAUUUCCAGGUCAUGUUAACACAACUGGUCAUCUAAGGACACUUCCUUCACAAUAAAGGAGAUGAAAUCUAAUGAUUUACAGCUUAUAUUGAAUAACUGACUAGUCAAGGACUUGUUACAUAUUAUAAUUCUUAAUACUUAAUGACAAGAAAUAAGAUCAAAUCUAAUGACUUAAAGAUUGUAGAAUAGUUGACUUGUCAAGGACAUUUUAAUGGUACAUGUUAUAAUUCUGUAUGUACUACAAAAGUCUACAUUAAAACCAUGACUAAUACACAUUAUGUGUGUUUUGUGACAUGUGUUAGUUACAAAUUUUUGAGCAAGGCUGUGGCUGAAUAGAAUUUUAAAUAAUGUAUUGAUCACUGUAUCCUACUAGAGUGCACACCUGGCUUUUUGGUUAUGUUAUUUAAAUUUUCAAUUGGAUGUUUUUUAAGUUAACUUUAUGGUACCCGGUUUUUAAAGGUAUUUGAAAGCUAUGCACCAUUAACUUAGAGUAGUGUGACCCAGACAGUGUGACCUUCAAAUCAAGGCUGGUGUUUCCCUCUAAAAGAUAAGAGAGAAGUUUUACCUAUGACAUAUAUUGAUAAAGUUUGCACAAGUCUGGCAUAAUAAGUGUGUGUCUAGGUUUGGUGUAUUUUUGGAAACCUUAUGGCAUGUAUAUAAUUUCUGCAGCUGUUACAAUAACCAUUAGUUUUAUAUUGUGAGGUAGAAUAUUUAAAAUCAAAUAAUGUGUGGGAGAAAAAGAAAUAAGAAAUGAAUUUUUCAAUAAGACCAGGUGUACAGAUUUAUAUUAUCUUCUUUUGAAUGAACAUCUUAAAGAAAUCCUUUGUUUCUUUUUUUUUUUAAAUUCACAAUUACAAGCAUAAAUUUUAUAUUUGAAUGAAACUUGAGAUAGCAAUGAUGUCAACAGUAAUUUUUUUAUGCAGUAAAAUUAAAUUUGUUGUACUCUUACAUUCAUAUAUUAAACUAGGCAGACAAUUCCAAAGAGAGAAUUAAAACUCAUAAGUUGAAUGGAGUCUGAUCAUGGCAAAAAAGUUCAGGAAAAAAACAUAAUAGGUAAAAAAGGGGGAGUUUUCUCGUUAGUUUGAAAGAUAUGGAAAUUUGACCAUUUCCUCUUGAUACCUGAUUUCAGAUUUGAAAAAAAAUCUAUUGAAAUACACCAGUUGAUAUGUUGAAAAUUGAUUGCAUAGGAAAUUUACUGUAUUAAAUAUACUUCAAAAUGUGGAAAAAAAGACAAGAAAAAAAAAAAUCUGAAAAAUCCUGAUAUUAUGAUGAAAGACCCAUUAUAGCAUUUAAUAAUGUGAUUAAAUUCUGAUGUAUAAUUUCACUUUCUAUCAUGGUAUUAUUUAGGAAAUAAGUUUUUUUGUAAAGUGGAAGUUAAUUUUGUACUUGGGAUGAUAAUUUACAGUACUUGUGUCAAUUUGAUAAAUUACAGCAGCUUAAUUUGUAAUGCUUUAGAUAAUGAACUGGAUGUCUUUAAUAUAAAUUAGUUCUAGGAAUUUGACAUAAAUCUAGUUAUUCAGGAUUUUUUUAAAAGAGAAAAUAAAUUUUUAAAUUUGUACCACCAGUGAUUUAGAACAAAUUUGCAGUCUGAUAUUAAAUCAAUUGUCUGCAAUUUGUAGAGCAGAGGAAAAAAAGGAUAUGAAAUAUAGUUCUGCAAGACCCAUUGGGGAAAGAAAUCAGUCAUUUUGUGUACAAAUCAUAUCUGAAAAUUUGUCAGGUUUUCUUUCACAUAUACUCCAUAAGAAAUUGUUCAGGUUGACAGCCCUCAUUUUAAGUAGUUUAAUAUGCAUAUAACCAGAGAAAAUCUUUUUUGAGUUGACCUUUUUAAUAUUUUGCAAUGAAAGUUGUGUGUCAAGAAACAGAUUUGAUUUAGAAAAACUUAAAAAAAAAAGAAAAGAAAAACUUCAAUUAAAAAAAAAUUGUAUCAACUAACCGAAAUCUGUUUCUUUAGCUUUAAAAAUAAUCCGUUGAGGUCAGCAAAAAAUAAAAAAGUUUUUAUUUUUUUAUUUUCAGAAAAGAAGCUUGUUAACCUUGCUAAUGCAUUCUGUACAGAUAAAAGACAAGUCGAGGCAGUUAAGGAAAUGAAUUUCACACAAUUUGGUUUGAAUUACAUUUGUACACAUCUUUCCCUCAUUAAUCUCUGUGUUGGCAUUGAUAAAGAAUGAAAUGUCUUACAAAAUAAUGUAUGUAGUUCCAAUUUCAUGAUUAGCCCUUAACUUAAAGUGACAUUAUAGAUAUCAUAUCUAAUUACAAG
This 77430-nucleotide long non-coding RNA is filed under the name Mytilus galloprovincialis (Mediterranean mussel). The record is from RNAcentral. Lineage: Eukaryota; Metazoa; Mollusca; Bivalvia; Mytilida; Mytilidae.